RNAcentral lists this long non-coding RNA (64213 nucleotides) under Sorghum bicolor (sorghum). RNAcentral's name for it is "long non-coding RNA (SBIC_LNC005574)". Lineage: Eukaryota; Viridiplantae; Streptophyta; Magnoliopsida; Poales; Poaceae. The record is from RNAcentral.
UUUUUUUUUUUGUGAGAAGCUGUAAAAAUUUGUUAUUUGCCCUUGGAACUUUUACGGGCCGCUAUGUACUGUACAACACUAAACGGCCCAACCCCAAAUUAGCGACUAGUAAACGGCAACCAACCAGCCUGCACAUCCAACCUCGCCAGCGGCCAGGGCCAGGACAAAAAAUGUUGAGCAAGGCUAAUAACACAGUCGAUGGCUGGUUGUUCUUACAGUCUACUUAUAUAGUGGUUAGCUCUUCAUUAUUAAUAUAUAGUAUACUUGUUUUUCUUCUAAACUUUUUUGGUUCUUGUGUCUAAGUCGGCUGUAAGCUUACAGCCCGCUUUCACUCUCUCUCCUCUUCUCUUUUUUCCCAGCUCACCAUUUAGCUGGCUUACAGCUUAGGUCAUGCGAGCGAAGGAACCAUUAUGGGUGUGUUUGGUUCACUUUUUCGACUUGGCUUGGCUAGCCAACUAAGCCAGGUACUCUAAGCCUGGCUCUCCCAAUGCAAGAGGCAGUUGUUUGGUUCACUUGACUUAGCUAAGCCUGGAUUCCUUUGAUCAUCAGCUUAAAUACAGUCACCUCUUUCUUGUUCUGGUAGCUUUACCUCUCUAAGACAUUACAUCAAACGGUUGGUGGGCACUAAAAUCUUCACCACGCCAUAGAUGAGCUCUACCUCGCUAACGCUGCCAACAAGGAAGAAGAGGGCUCGCCGGCACUGCUGGACCGACGCGGUAACGACAACAUAGCCCAACUCCUCCAUGGCUCGGCACUCCUCCUUGGCCGGCACUGCUGGACCGAAUGCGUCGCGAAGGAGGAGUAGCACGGCGAGGCAGAACCGUGGCGCCCAGCUGUACUGCGCCCCGCCGAGCCUGUAGGCCACGACGGGAGCCGCUCGCCGCCGGGCCCGCCACGAACGCGCGCCAGUGCGUCGCGGAACGCGGCACCAGGUCCUCCAGGUCGAACGGCGGGCCACGAACCCGGAGCUGCCACAGACGCCCGAAGAAGAUGAGCUUCUUGAACAAGCAGGCGCCGACCAUGGCAUCGAGCUUCUCACGGUCGCGCCGGCCAAGGCAUCGAGCAGGGCGCCAGAUCUGGAGGAGGAGAAGCCAAACACACCCUAUGAUAGUGUGGUGCGUGAACAGUGAAGUGUGAACGUGCGACUGGCUUUCCUUAACUUGUCGAAGAGGAAAGGGUAAGCCAACACGACAUUGGCAGAAUAAUGCCGUGCCGGAAACGUGGAAAGAGAUGGACGACGACGAGCGAAAGGUGGUGGGUGGACUGGUGGUGGUGGCGGAGUGCCGGAGCACGACGUGCGGAGGGAGAGCCGGCAACGGGCGGGAGCGGGAGAUUUUUGCUUGGACAGGCCGGACCGACAACGAGUCUUGUCGGUAAGCAGAGCCGCGCCCGUGCGAUGCGAUGCGAUGCGAUUCGGGUGGUUUUCCUGCACCGAUCUGCAUGGUUAGUAUUUGGCGCAAAUUAAGGCCUUGUUUAGUUCUAAAAAAUUUUACAAAAUUUUUCAGAUUCUCCGUCACAUCGAAUCUUUAAACGCAUGCAUGGAGUAUUAAAUAUAGAUGAAAAUAAAAAUUAAUUGCACAAUUUGGUCGAAAUUGACGAGACGAAUCUUUUGAGCCUAGUUAGUCUAUGAUUGGACAAAUUUUGUCAAAUACAAACGAAAGUGCUACAGUAUCAAUUUUGCAAAAUUUUUUGGAACUAAACAAGACCUAAAGAGACAAACCUGACGUGUGACACGGGCACAUGGUGCGUGCGCUAACUGCAUGCCGCGUACGUGGACCGCGCAACAGCAAGGGCAGGCAGCGAAAUGGAGAUGUCGAUCGAUGAUGGUUCCUCUUUUCAGCAUCUGCAAUGCACUGACAAGGGUGGAUUUUGCUCCGAUAUAGAGUUGUAGUAUGUAUAUGGCGUGCGGGUGAUCCCAGUGGGUGUAUGUUCCCCUUGGACACAAAAUGAUUGUCUUCUGUUUGGUCCUCUCAAUUCAUCAUAGACGUACGUAUUGUUGAAUAUAAUGGGCCAUUAGCCCAUAUUUAUAUUUGAUGAUUAAUUCAAGGGCCCAUAAUUAAUGCUAUAAUAAAAAUGGUUUAGUACCAUAUUGAUGAUUGACCAUGUGUUAACUCAACUUAAAUAGGUGGCCUUUGUUAGCCUCUAUGGAGAAGUUGAGGGAGGAUGAAGGGGUGCCACACGCGCGCGCCGCCGCCGCCGAGCCCCCGUCCCGAUCCUCUGCGCGCACAGAGAUCGGGAGAGCAGACCUCCGGAACCCGACGCCACCUGCUCGGGUGUUGCGGGCAAUCAGGUUUUUGGGGAGCGUCUUCCGCGACUGCUCACCGGCGAGAUCGUCUUCUUCCACUCCGGCGGGUCUUCUUCCUGGUGGACGUUCGCGCGGAUCGAGAUCGACUACUUCGUCUUCUUCCUGGUGGACGUUCGCGGGACUGCACUGCGAACAUCUUCCUGCACCGACUGUGGUCCGCUACUUCGAGCAACGCACUAUGUCGACUAGUGCGAAUGGAGCCGCCGGUGCCUUCGGCACUGGUCCCUCCUCUGGGUACAAUCUUAAACGAUUGUUUUUCGUUUUCAGUAUGUCUGCUGUUGUUGCAGUAGUAUUUGCAAUGUUUGUCUCUAAUCUGAGUAGUGAUAAAAUUGCACACGUGCACAUAUAUGCCACCACAAUAUUAUGCGUAAUUUUCUGGAUUAAAUCAAACAGUAAAAUGUCUAAAUUUCUAACAAUCCAAAAACCUGAUAUUAGGCAUUUUUCUGCUAGUGGUUUUGCUGCUGCGUUAAAACCGGAUGCGUUCGAUGGUUCAAACUAUAAGCGGUGGCGCGCGAGAAUGACAUUGUGGUUGACUGCUAUGAGUUGUUAUGACGUCGCGAAGGGGAAGCCUGAACAGUUUACUCCUGAGGAGGAGAAAACGUUCAUGGCUGCUGAUAACCUCUUCAGAGGCGCCGUCAUAAGUGCGCUCGAUAAAAAGUAUGUCGACAUCUAUAUUAUUUGCUCCACUGCUAAAGAAUUAUGGGAUGCGCUUGAGGCCAAGUUCGGGGUUUCUGAUGCUGGUAGCGAGCUGUACCUCAUGGAACAAUUGUUUGAUUACAAGAUGGUGGAUAGCCGUUCUGUGAUUGAACAAGCACAUGAGAUACAGGCACUAGCUAAGGAACUAGAACAAUUUCCUUGUGUGUUGCCUGAAAAGUUUGUGGCCGGCGGUAUAAUCGCUAAGCUGCCACCUUCUUAGAAGGAUUUUGCUACUUCUCUAAAACAUCAGAGGAAAGAGUUUGGUCUUCUGAACUCAUGGGAACUCUUGAUGUUGAGGAGAAGGCGAGAGCAAAAGAUACACAUGGGAAAGGCGUUGAGUCUUCUAGUGCCAAUGUGGUGCAGAAGAAAAAGCAAUUCGCAUUCCGUAAUAAGAAAAAGAACAAGCAAGAGAACAAGCAAGGAGCAAACCCGAAGCAAAAACAAACUGCAACUUUUAAGAAGAAAAAGGCAGAAGGAGGCUGCUUUGUUUGCGGUAGCGAUGACCACUGGGCGAGUGGUUGUCCAGACCGCAAAUUUAAACGAGAAGAGAAAAAGUCAGUAAACAUGGUCAUUAGCGAGGCUGAAGGAGGAACAUCUGGGUAUGGUAAUUAUUUACCUACUUUUUUUUCAGUCUGUCAUUCACCUGAGUGGUGGAUGGAUACUGGGGCUAAUGUUCAUGUGUGUGCUGACAUCUCUUUGUUUUCUUCUUAUCAGGCCGGCAACACUGGAGCCUUACUGAUGGGGAACGGAUCUCAUGCGCGUGUUCUUGGUGUUGGUACGGUCAUUCUGAAGUUCACUUCGGGAAAGACGGUGCUGAUGAAGAACGUGCAGCAUGUCCCCUCCAUCAAAAAGAAUCUAAUUAGCGGCUCACAGCUUUGUAGAGAUGGCUACAAAAUAGUCUUUGAGGCCAAUAAAGUUAUACUUUCAAAGUUUGGAACUUUUAUUGGUAAAGGUUAUGAUUGCGGAGGCUUGUUCCGCUUAUCCAUGCAUGAUGUGUGUAAUAAAAUCGUGAACCAUACUGUGAUUUCGAAUGAGUCGAAUAUUUGGCAUUCGCGAUUUUGUCAUGUUAAUUAUGGUUGUUUAACGCGGCUAGCAAAUAUGAAUUUAAUCCCGAAAUUUAAUUUAGUCAAAGGUUCUAAGUGCCAUGUAUGCGUGCAAUCCAAGCAACCUCGCAAGCCUCACAAGGCUGCGGAGGCGAGGAACUUGGCACCAUUAGAAUUAAUCCAUUCCGAUCUAUGCGAGAUGAAUGGUGAGUUGACUAAAGGUGGUAAACGAUACUUCAUCACUUUUAUAGAUGAUUGUACUAGAUUUUGUCAUGUGUACUUGCUUAAAACAAAGGAUGAAGCAUUACAAUAUUUUAAAACCAAUAAAGCUGAAGUAGAAAAUCAACUUGAGAGGAAAAUUAAACGCUUAAGGUCCGAUCGUGGUGGAGAAUAUUUUUCAAGUGAUUUUUCUGACUUCUGCGUAGAACAUGGAAUUAUUCAUGAGAGGACACCACCAUACUCACCACAGUCCAAUGGGAUUGCCGAAAGAAAGAACCGUACUCUAACUGAGAUGGUUAACGCCAUGUUAGAGACUUCGGGUCUAUCUAAGGAAUGGUGGGGUGAGGCGAUAUUGACAGCGAGUCAUGUCCUGAAUAGAGUUCCUACUAAGAAUAAAGAAAUCACACCAUUUGAGGAAUGGGAAAAGAAAAGAGUAAAUGUCUCUUAUUUGCGUACUUGGGGUUGUUUGGCUAAAGUGAAUGUGCCAAUAAACAAGAAACGCAAACUCGGACCUAAGACAGUUGACUGUAUUUUCCUUGGUUAUGCUACUCACAGCAUAGGGUAUAGGUUCUUAAUCAUAAACUCUGGAGUACCAGAUAUGCAUGUUGGUACUAUAAUGGAAUCUAGAGAUGCAACAUUCUUUGAAAGUGAGUUUCCUAUGAAAAGUACACCUAAUAUUUCUAGUCAUGAGUCUAUAAACUCCCAUGAGCAAUUUAUUCCGAUAGAACAAACUGAGGAACCCCAUGUUCACUAUCCUGAGGAGGAUGAUAAUGUAGUCACUCGAACGAGCAAAAGACAAAGAAAAGUGAAGUCUUUUGGAGAUGACUAUAUUGUGUACCUCGUGGAUGAUACCCCAACAACCAUUAAAGAAGCAUUUUUCUCUCCUGAUGCUGACUUGUGGAAGGAAGCAAUAAGGAAUGAGAUGGAUUCUAUAAUGUCUAAUGAAACUUGGGAAGUGGUUGAACGACCUUAUGGGUGCAAACCUAUAGGGUGCAAAUGGGUGUUUAAGAAAAAGCUUAGGCCUGAUGGUACAAUUGAGAGGUACAAGGCUAGGCUUGUGGCUAAGGGUUAUACCCAAAGAGAAGGGGAAGAUUUCUUUGAUACUUAUUCACCUGUUGCCCGUUUGACCACAAUUCGAGUGUUAUUGUCUUUGGCUGCCUCUCAUGGUCUUCUCAUUCAUCAGAUGGAUGUGAAAACAGCUUUCCUAAAUGGAGAGUUAGAGGAAGAGAUCUAUAUGGAUCAGCCUGAUGGAUUUGUAACAAGUGGUGAAAAGGGCAAGGUGUGUAAGUUAUUAAAAUCCCUUUAUGGCCUAAAACAAGCUCCAAAACAAUGGCAUGAGAAGUUUGACAGAACCUUAACUUCGGCCGGCUUUGCUGUUAAUGAAGCUGACAGAUGUGUGUACUAUCGGUUUGGUGGGGGUGAAGGUGUGAUCCUUUGUCUGUACGUGGAUGACAUACUGAUCUUUGGGACAAGCCUUGUUGUGAUCAAGGAAGUUAAAGACUUUUUGUCUAAUAACUUUGAGAUGAAAGAUUUGGGAGAAGCUGAUGUUAUUCUAAACAUUAAGCUUUCAAGAGAAGGCAAUGGUGGGAUAACACUUGUGCAGUCCCACUAUGUGGAAAAGAUUUUAAGUCGCUUUGGGUACAGUGACUGUCAAUCUGCUCCUACGCCUUAUGAUCCUAGUGUGCUAUUGAGGAAAAACCGAAGAAUAGCAAGGGAUCAACUAAGAUUCUCCCAAAUUAUAGGCUCAUUGAUGUACCUUGCUAGUGCCACGAGGCCUGAUAUCUCGUUUGCAGUGAGCAAACUUAGCCGGUUUGUGUCAAAUCCGGGAGAUAUUCAUUGGCAAGCUCUUGAGAGAGUGAUGCGCUAUUUGAAAGGUACUGUGAGCUAUGGCAUUCACUAUACCGGAUACCCGAAGGUAUUAGAGGAUUAUUGUGAUGCAAACUGGAUAUCUGAUGCUGAUGUGUUAAAGGCCACAAGUGGAUAUGUGUUUCUGCUUGGAGGUGGCGCUGUUUCAUGGAAGUCUUGCAAGCAGACUAUCUUAACGAAGUCAACCAUAGAAGCAGAACUCACAGCAUUAGACACCGCCGGUGCUGAGGCCGAGUGGCUUCGUGAACUCCUGAUGGAUCUACCGGUGGUUGAAAAACCUGUGCCGGCUAUUUCCAUGAACUGUGACAAUCAAACAGUGAUCACUAAAGUCAACAGUUCUAAGGACAACAUGAAGUCUACUAGGCAUGUCAAACGGCGUUUGAAGACUGUCAGAAAGUUGAGAAACUCCGGAGUUAUAGCAUUGGACUAUGUUCAUACGUCCAAGAAUCUGGCAGAUCAAUUUACAAAGGGACUAUCACGUAAUGUGAUAGAUAGUGCAUCGAGUGAGAUGGGUUUGAGACCCACGUGAGGUCUACCAUGGUGGCAACCUGUUCUAUGUGAUCGGAGAUCCCGUGAAGUAGAAUGGUGAAACAAGCCAGAAGUAGAUUGUGAGGAAAGACCCUUUACUUAACUCAUCUCAAUUGCACUUCUUUCCUAAGUCUGUAAGGAAGGCUGGUUAUAUACCUUAAUGUAUUCCAAAGCGGCUUGUGAAGCGAUAGAUGUUGUCCUACAGAACAUCUUUAAGGAAUACACCUAUAUGAGUUUGACUGCUAGUCACAGUCUAUGAGAUUUUGGGUGAUCUCUAGAUACUCAUGAAUGGGCCAGAAGUAUGACUUAUAUGCUUCAACCAGAGGGGAUGUUCAUGCAACCCGGUAUCAGUUAUGAGUAUAGAUGAAACUUAUAUCACACAAAACUUGCAAUUCAAGGCAUAGUCCAUUGUUCAAGUUGUGGCUAAGUGUAGUCUGUACUCUAGGUGGAAGUUCAACUUAACAGUCUCCACUGAAACGACUGGUAUAUGAAACGACAUGGAAACUCGAGAGUUUUUCUUAUGUGCCCUAGAAAUAGGUGGGGAUUGUUGAAUAUAAUGGGCCAUUAGCCCAUAUUUAUAUUUGAUGAUUAAUUCAAAGGCCCAUAAUUAAUGCUAUAAUGAAAAUGGUUUAGUACCAUAUUGAUGAUUGACCAUGUGUUAACUCAACUUAAAUAGGUGGCCUUUGUUAGCCCCUAUGGAGAAGUUGAGGGAGGAUGAAGGGGUGCCACACGCGCGCGCCGCCGCCGCCGCCGAGCCGUGUCUUGUCUUGUCUUGACGAGACGAGACGAGACGAGCGAGCGUGACGUGGCACACGAGGACCAGACCAGACGUGACGUGGCGCAUGCUUGGUGAAUAAGGAAAGGGAGGAAAAACGGGAUCUGACCGUUGUGUAAUUAAUGGCAAUUAAUUGCUAAUUGAUUGACUCGGUUUAUGGCAAUUAAAUGAGAUUAAUGGUCAUCAAUCAGAUAUUUCCUCCUGAGGCCUAUAUAUACCAUACGCACCCACUCCUUCCAUUCCUGCGAGAACACACUCAGUCUUCUCUCUUCCUGUCGAGUUGCACUCUGUCCAUUCCCGUCCCGAACCUCUGCGCGCACAGAGAUCGGGAGAGCAGGCCUCCGGAACCCGACGCCUUGCAUCGAGACACCUGCUCGGGUGUUGCGGGCAAUCAGGUUUUUGGGGAGCGUCUUCCGCGACUGCUCACCGGCGAGAUCGUCUUCUUCCACUCCAGCGGGUCUUCUUCCUGGUGGACGUUCGCGCGGAUCGAGAUCGACUACUUCGUCUUCUUCCUGGUGGACGUUCGCGGGACUGCACUGCGAACAUCUUCCUGCACCGACUGUGGUCCGCUACUUCGAGCAACGCACUAUGUCGACUAGUGCGAAUGGAGCCGCCGGUGCCUUCGGCACUGGUCCCUCCUCUGGGUACAAUCUUAAACGAUUGUUUUUCGUUUUCAGUAUGUCUGCUGUUGUUGCAGUAGUAUUUGCAAUGUUUGUCUCUAAUCUGAGUAGUGAUAAAAUUGCACACGUGCACAUAUAUGCCACCACAAUAUUAUGCGUAAUUUUCUGGAUUAAAUCAAACAGUAAAAUGUCUAAAUUUCUAACACGUAUACUCCACAGCCCACACAGUUGUUCUAUGCAUGUGGCCCUUCAAUCAGUCGCAAUCAUAACCAAAUAAUACUACCAAAAACUGGAUGCGGGCGCUCCCUACCAAACCCACGUCGCUGGACGACGCUGACACCUCGAGGUGUGUUGGAGUAAUCAUUUUCAGCACCAGAGACGGAGAGAGAGAGAGAGAGAGUUGGGCAAACCGCCCCGCUGUUUCUGUUUAGGGCAGGUAGUCAGGUGCAAUGCAACGCUCCGCUCGUGUUGCUGCCCGGCCCGACGUACGUUUGCACCAAUGCAAGAUGAGGAGGCAGAGAUACAGUUUAUUUUGUCUUGGGUCAAACCGAAGCCGCUUCUCCCGUUGUACAAGCUGCUGCGAGAUGUCGCUGGUGGCAUCACCGAUCCAAUGCUUCCACGCUCGUGUUCCUUCGUUUGUUUGCUCUGUUGGUGUGGUCUGGAUGCACAGCACUUUUGCGUUGGAUACUUGGAUCCACCGAAAGGGGAGCCCAGAUCCCAACAGGCGUCCCACUACUCCUUGUCAUGUUGCGCUAAUAUACUGCUGUCCUAGCUAGGCCUUGUUUAGAUGUGAAAAAAAAUUAGAUUUCGUUACUGUAGUACUUUCGUUUGUUUGUGGUAAAUAGUGUCCAAUCAUAGACUAACUAGAGUUAAAAGAUUCGUCUCGCGAUUUACAGUCAAACUGUGUAAUUAGUUUUUGUUUUCGUUUAUAUUUAAUACUUCAUGCAUGUACCGCAAAAUUUGAUAUGAUAGAAAAUUUUAAAUUUUUUUUUGAUUUUCAGGACGAACUAAACAACGCCCUAGUAGCGGUCUCCAAAUGACUCGAUCGGGGGAGACUGCGAGGGAUCAGGACAAAGAUGCGGCGGCCCUGGCUUCACGGAUUCUUCUGUCGAUGGCACGCGCAUGCUGGUUUUCGUUUGGUGAAGGUAACGCACUUUUAUUUAGGCCUGGUUUUUUUUUAAAAAAAAUAAGAUUUUCUAUCACAUCGAAUCUUAUAACAUAUGCAUGGAUCAUUAAAUAUAAAUUAAAAAAACUAAUUAUAUAAUUUACCUGUAAUUUGUGAGACGAAUCUUUUGAGCCUAGUUAGUUCAUGAUUGGACAAUAAUUAUUAAAUAUAAACGAAAAUGAUAUAGUAGCCAAAACCAAAAAGUUUUACCAACUAAACAAGGUCUUAGCUCAAACUUUUAACACUCCACAUGUGACUUUACAUUCUCAAUGGUAAAGAUUUGAAUCCUACGACCACAAAGCCAUGUAUCCUCUUGUUAUCACCCGAUUGACUUUUCAUGACGGCUAAUCUCUAUCUAAACACAAGCAAAAAUAAAGACGCAUAUGAAGUUCUUUACUGAAAUCAGAUUAACCAUUGGAGUUAGGGUGUCACACAAAUGGUGACUCACGGAUGUAAAAUGACAUAUCAAUCUAAGCAAAACCCAACUCUAACUUAGACAAUUGACUACUUAAAUAGAUAUUGUUAGUGUCAGCCAAGAGGACCUAUGGACACGUUCUAAUGGACUUCGACAUGAUACCCAGUCUAAUGGACUAAAAGAUAGAGAUAUAAUACUCAGACAGAUUCUAUGUGCUUAUAACACCCUAAACAUAUUCUACGUGCCCACCUUAGAGAGCUUAUCUUCUUAGCUUUCUGUGUAUACUAAAUAUCAAAAACUCGGUUGGUAUACGACCUAAGCGACAAUUUUAGUAUGGGCUACCACUAAGACGAUGAGCUCGACUUUGAAUAUGGACUGAUUUUUUUAGAAUUGCACAGUACACUGCAGAUGUCUAAACAUGCACCCCUAUGAAGACAUGUACGCUAACUGUAUCCCUAUGACACCUACAAAGGACUGAGCUGACAAAUCUCGAGAUUCACGAAGUCACCUUUAGACAUCUCGCUGUCGAUGAGGGUGACGCCGCCUACCACUAAAAGCAUAGCUUCGAUAAAAUCAUAGAAUAAAUCUAGAAACAUACGAGUGUCCGUGUCAAGUCAAGAAUUCGAACCCAGGUGAGCAAGUUCUACCACAAGAAAUCAAACCUAGUUUGAAUAUGGACUGAUUUAAAACUACAUGUGGAGCCUAUUUUGUAUAAUAGGGGGUAAAAACCUUGUAUGCACUAUGCAGGAAGCAAAGGGUAACCAAUAAGCAGUCGAAAAAAAGGGUAACCAAUCAGCGGAAGCAGCAACGAGCUAUGCGAACCAGAAUCAGGUAGGGUUUGCAAGCCAGGGAAAGACGGAGUGAUGGGCACAAAUUAAAAGCAAGGCCUUGUUUAGAUGCGAAAAGAUUUUGGAUUUCGCUACUGUAGCACUUUUGUUUGUUUGUGGUAAAUAUUGUCCAAUCAUGGACUAACUAGGAUCAAAAGAUUCGUUUCGCGAUUUACAGUUAAACUGUGUAAUUAGUUUUUAUUUUCGUCUAUAUUUAGUGCUUCAUGUAUGUGGCGAAAGAUUCGAUAUGACAGAGAAUCUUAAAAACUUUUUGGUUUUCGGGUGAACUAAACAAGGCCCAAAGUGCUUGCGAGGAUAGUGCUGCCUUUGAAGAUCACGUGGACGCAGGAGCAGCCGACCUCAAUGCCGGCGCCGAGCGGCGUGAUGACCAUCUGGGCAUCUGGUCGCCCUCCCGUCUACUGGAGGUCGGGCUCCGGCCGGCGCCGUGGCGACUGGCUACGGACGCUCUCUCCAACUUCAAAUUAUCUCAGUGCAUCCGUAUUCCGUAGAUGCAAUUUUCAGCAAAAUUGAUUCGCAAAGUUGUUUUUUUAGGAAAAGCACACCCACAGUACACAAAUUUUAUAUCGAUUUUUCUAGAGCGUGAGUUUGAAUCUUACUCCAGCUUUUGCUACAAAUAUAUACUGAUGCAUUAUUUUAAAAAAAUUAAAACCUUUAUUGAAUAUUUUUUUUUUCUUCUUCGAGAACUUGUGCUUUUGCCGAAGAGGUGACAAUUUGCGGUGAAUAACGCCAUUUUCUACUUACCCGGUGAAUGGUGAUAUCUUUGUUGACUUGAAAUUCAUCACUGGAUUUGACACGUCAGGUGUUCAUAAAAAACGUGUAUAUCCCGGGCCACUUUUCAGAGUGUGAACUUUGUGCGACAAAUGGAAAGCAAAAGGUACUCUGCUAGGUGCUAGGCCACUAUACAAACGACCGUGAUAUCAACAUUAUAUAAAUAUAAAUACCAUCUUCACAAAAAAAUGCAAUUUUUAAAUAUAUUCUUGGUUAACGCAUCUAAAAUAUGACUAAAUAUAGAUAAAAAUAAUAAUGUCUAUGACAUCAAAUUUAUAUCUAUAUCUAAUAUUAAAGAGAUAAAAUUUUGUUCUAUCUAUUUUUCCGUCCACCUUCCCCUAACUACUUGUAUUGGACACGGGAGAGUUUCUUCUAUCUUGCUUUUUAGCUGCACUCACGUCCACCAUCUCGAAUGUAAUCCUGUCUCAUGAUCCAUAAUCAUACGAGUUAGGACAACUCGUGUUUAGCAAUAGUUAAUACAAAGUCCAAUUUCAAUACGUAUUGGAUCACACCACACAUAUCUCGAACAUGACCUAGAUUUAUGACCUGCACUCAUACAAGUUAAAACAGCUCACAUCUAACUCAUGGUACAUAGUCUGAUUUCUAUAUGUAUUGGGUUCCAUAAACAUGCAAAUAUAUUUGAACUCUAAAAGCGUACAAACAUAUUUGCUACUAAGUAUAUCUCAUAACAAAUCUAGUAAUAUUUAAUUGAUAUUAUAAAUAUUAAUAUUGUUUAUAUAUAUAUUAGGGAAACUUAAGGUAUUUUUAUUUGAUAUUAUAUGCUAGAAUUUGUUUUUUGUACGGAAUACUCUAAUUUGGAAUUUGCGUAAUUGCGUGCCCACUGCCCAGCACGCUACCCCAUGCGUACGAAGCUUAUAAUAGUUCUGUUUGCUUGAUUGAUAAGUCAUGGUCUGUUGAAUGACUGACAGAUUCAGCAAAUAAGCUUAAGCGAACAAGACUUAUUUGGAUUCUAUCUCUAUAGAUCCAAAAAGGACAUUACGCUGAGCUUCUAAAUUCUUUCCAAUAGAAAUAGAGCCCAGUGCAGUGCGUCGCUUGUUCUCAAUCUAGUAGCGGAACAAAAACACUCUUCGUGUUCGACUUCGAUCUGGUAAUUCACUACGACUUACUGGCUACACCAAGUGUUUUUAGCUUCUCGUAGUGUAAGAUCUAUUAAAUCAUUAUUAUAUAUCUUCUCUGAUUCAGUCCUGAUCGACUUCAGUGCGAAUAAGCCAUGCAUCCUAGAUCUAUUAAUAAUCAUUAUAUACAUCUUCUCUGAUUAUUCCUGAUCGACUUCAGUGCGAAUAAGCCAUGCAUCUCUGAUUUCUAUAUGUAUUGGGUUCCAUAAACUUACAUCUAACUGAUGGUACGCAGUCUGAUUUCUAUAUGUACUACUAAUUCCUAUUUACUUUUGUUGGAGGAGCAGUACGAGUGCAGCAGCUGAUUGCGCCAUGGAAGGUCACCAUACAGCAACGCUUGCGGACACGUGGUUGACGGCGACGAUGGCGAUCGCCGUUCUCCCUAUCGUCUCGGUCCUGAUCCUGACCGCCACCAAGAUCGGAAGAACCAUCGUCGGCGUCGCCCCUCCCAAGCGCAAAGGGCCGCCGGUGGCGGAGGGCGCUCCUCUCCUCGGAGUGCUGCCCGCCAUCCUCACCAGGAGCUUGCAAGACGUGAUCUGCGACCAACACUCGAAGCUCGGCAGCGUGUUCACGCUGAGCUCCUUGGGAGUGAAGGUGACGUUCCUGGUGGGGCCCGAGGUCUCCGCCCAUUUCUUCCACGCCGCCGAGUCGGACAUCAGCGUCGGCGACGUCUACAAGGUCACCGUCCCCAUCUUCGGCAAAGGGGUCGGCUACGACGUCGACCACGACACGCGGAACGAGCAGCACAGGUUCUUCGCCGACACUCUGAGGCCGGCCAAGCUCAGGAGUCAUGCCAGUCUCAUGGUUCGCGAGGUGGAGGAGUACUUCGCCAGGUGGGGGCAGUCCGGCACGGUCGACCUGAAGCAAGAGGUCGAGAACGUGCUCCUGCUGAUCGCGAGCCGGUGCCUGCUGGGGAAGGAGGUCCGGGAUCACAUGCACGACGAGGUGUCCUCGCUCCUCCGCGAGCUCAUCGGCGGCCUGCACCUGGUAAGCCUCUUCUUCCCGUACCUCCCGACGCCGGCUCACCGCCGCCGCGACCGAGCGCGCGCCAGGCUCGAGGAGAUAUUCUCCGGGAUCGCCAGGCUGCGCAGGAGCUCAUCAUCGGCCGGCCGCGGCGCCGGGGACGACGACCACGACAUGCUGCAGGGCCUGCUGGACUCCAGGUACAGAGACGGCCGCGGAACGACCGAGGCGGAGGUCACCGGCCUGCUCGUGGCGCUGCUCUUCGCCGGCCACCACACCAGCGCCACGGUCACCACCUGGACGGCGGCGCGCCUGCUCCGCCACGCAGAGUGGCUGCACGCGGCCACGGAGGAGCAGAGGCGGCUGCUGCAGAGGAACGAUCAGAACGAAGCUACAGCGGUCAUCGACUACGACGUCCUGCUCCGGAUGGACGUCCUCCACCGCUGCGUCAAGGAGGCGCUGCGGCUCCACCCGGUGACCCCAAUGAUCCUCCGCCGCGCGCGCAGGCCGUUCACCGUGCGCGCUCAGGACGGCGCCGAGUACGAGGUCCCCGAGGGGCGCAUGCUGGCGAGCCCGCUGGUGGUGAACAAUCUGCUCCAGGGCAUCUACAGGGAACCUGAUGUGUUCGACCCGGAUCGCUUCGCCGCCGGGAGGGAGGAGGACAGGGUCGGCGGCGACCUCGCCUACACCUCCUUUGGCGCCGGGAAGCAUGCCUGCAUGGGCGAGGGCUACGCCUACCUGCAGAUCAAAGUGAUACUGAGCCAUCUUCUCAGGAACUUCGAGCUCCAGCUGGUUUCUCCCUUCCCGGAGACGGAGAACAUGAUCUCCAUGAGGCCCAAAGGGGAAGUCAUGGUAAGCUAUAGGAGACGCCCUCUGCUGCAGCCUGCAGUAGUGCACUAGCUUGACAAGUGAAUAAGCAAUGCAGUAAACUGAAUUUUAUUUGUUGAGCCACAAAUUAAUCAGGGAAUUGCAUUGUAUUAGUGUGGCUGGAUGCCUGGAAGUCUUUACGUACACAGAUCCACUGCAAACUUCUUGCAGUUCGUUACAAAACACAGGCACGAAAGAAAUCGGAGGCAUUUGCAAUUCGCACGAAUUGUGUGGUCGCCGCUUCAGCACUCGGGCAAAUCCUUGGGCGGCGGCAAAACCGACUCAUCAGGGCCAUUGCCGUCCUCCACCAGGAAUGCGAUCUUGAGGCCCUAGCUCGUGUCAGUCGUGUGCACCUCCAGAUGACAGUGCAGGAACCAAACACCUGGAUUGUCUGCCCUGAACCGGAUGGCGGUCCAGCCGCCGGCGGGCACGCCGACGGUGUUCCUCUCGGGCGGGUCGACGAGGUUGUACUUGGCGGGGUCCUUGGCCGGGUCGAAGUUGCCGAGGCCCCUCCCGACGACGAAGAAGUUGUAACCGUGGAGGUGGAACGGGUGCGACUCCACGGACAGCAGGUUGUACGCGACCUUGCUCAGCCUCGUGCCCAGCGACGUGGCGAGCCCCGUCGUGAGCGGCACGCCCGUGUAGUUGAACCGCGCCGGCGGGCGCGCGGUCGGGGAAGUCGGCGGCGAAGACGCCUUUCAGCCCGCCGUAGUGCGCCUGCAGCAGCGCCACCGCGGGCAUCACGAACGUGAUGUUGUUGAGCGACGCCGCGAGGCGGGAGCCGUUCAGGCACGACCGUGCACGGCACGGGUCGAUGUUGAGCCCGAUGGUGUACAGCAGGUGCCGGUCCACGGCGCGCGGCGGGGAGGACGGAGGUCGGGACGCCGGCGUACUGGAGGAUGGCGGUGGCCGUGUCUUGUCGUCCGCGGGGACGGGCACGUGGUUGAAGGGCUUGGCGGCCAUGAAGUACCGGCCGGGCUUCUGGUCCGCCCGGACGAGCACGUUGGUGGUCUGACCCGGCGAGAGCUGGAUGGUCGACGCCGCCAAGGGCUUGGUGUACGUGGCGUCGAUCUCCACCACCGUCAUGGUGUGCCCGGCGAUGGAGAAGAAGAGCUCGUCGUUCACUGCAGCGUUGACGACCCGGAGGAGGUACGUCUUCCCCCACUGCACCUGCAGUGCGUACGUAUCUGAUCGAAGCAAGACAUGACAGUACAUACGGUUAGUAACACCAAUACAUUGCCUCGUAUCAUUAGCAAUGCAAAAGUACCAACAAGAAACCAUGAGUCCACGCACGUUUCUCGGAGCACGGGAAGAGCGGGCCGGGUUUGCCGUUGAUGGUGUGCGCGUCAGACGUGUUGGGCGCCAUGCCAGGCAUGCGGCCCUGCUUCUCGAUGGCCUCCACGUCGGCGUGCCACCACUCGCCUGCAUGCGACGCCACCAACCAAUCAGUACGAUCGAGUGUGUUCGUCACAUGGAAGCUGGACAGUGGGGUGCACCGGCCGGCCGAUCAAUCGUUCGGUCUCGCGUGCCCACGUACGUACCCAGGAUGAUCUCGGCCUCGGCGUCGGGCUUGGGGAACGGGUAGGGGACGCCGCGCUCGGGGAGGACGACGACGGCGCCGUGGACGGUGGCGCGCAGCCAGGCGAUGUGCGCGUGCCACCACAGCGUCCCGCGCUGCUCCGUGACGUACGUUCGCCGGCCCGUCCGCCCACCCGUUCCGGCGCUGCUUCAGCCCGUGGCAGUGGAUCGUCACGUUGUGUGCUCCACGCGGUUGGUGACGCGCGCGCACGACGACGCGGUCCCCUUCGCGGGCGUAGAUGGUCGGCCCAGGGUAGCCGACGUUCACGGUCACCAUGGAUUUCGCAUGGCACAGCCGGCUCACGUUGCUCAUCACGAUCUGCGUGCGUGCGUACAGAGCGGGGAACUGUAUCCACAACCACAAACCGCGAAGAACACAGGAACAAUGACAAUCAUCGAUAGCAUAUAUGUAUGUAUAUACUCACGUCGAAUUGGUAUCUCUUGACGUCGGCCUGAGCGGAGAGAGUGAGGACUGCAAGGAGGAGAGCCGAGAGUACCAGGGGAAGUCCGUGCCGAGAGGAGGCCAUCGCCAUUGCAGCUGCAGAGGGCGAUGAGCAGCAUGACAGUGCUCUGUGAGACUGUGACCGUGCGCGUUGCGCCUCCUUAUAUGUUGACCACUACAACAAAUGUGACUAUACAUGACGAAUUUUGGUGACGUUCUAAAAAAUCAUCAUGGAAGUCCCUAAUCUAUGACGGAUUAUAUGUUACUAUUACGUGAGAAAAAAUAGAAUAAGAAAACUGAGCGUCGGCUCCUUCCUAUCCUGUCGACGAAAGCUAGUCGGCAGUCUACCUUGGGGUAUACCCACGGUAGUAGUUUGUCGGUAGACGGUGCGCAAACUACGAACUCGAUGGUGACGCAAGACACGGACAAGCUUUUUAUCCAGGUUCGGCCGCCGAGUUGGCGUAAUACCUACGUCCUGCGUCUGGUUGUAUUGAUUUGUGUUGAGAGAAUCUGAUCUGUCCUAGGGGGGUCCCUUGCCCCUCCUUAUAUAGUCUGGAGGGCAGGGUUACAGAUCUGGAAACUAAUCCUAGUCGGUUACAAUUGCCAUGGAUAAUUCGAUAUCAAUUCCUAUUCUAACCGACCAGAAAUCCUGCUUGAUCUCCACAUCUUGUUUCCUUGCGCGGAACUCCAGGUUGUCGGAUCAAGCUUUGAACUCGUCUCGUAAUGGGCCAAGCCUCCUGGCCCAAGUCCAGUCGUAAGGGUAUAGGGGUUUAUACCCCCACAGCUAGUCCCCGAGCACCAUAUAUUAUGAUGUAACGCCGUCUUGAGCUUCUUCGAUCAGUGAGGCUUGACGUCUUCAGGAAAGUUGCCCGAACAGUUGCAACGGUAUUUUGACCAACUCAAAAGACAGUUGAUCAACAUUGACAUCGAAGAAGCAGGUUGUUCGAAGAAUGCAUGGUGCUCUAAAUUAAAAAAGAUUUCUUUCCUGGUGAAGUGUGCCCACUUUACUUUUUUUUUGAAAGGUAUAAACAUCAAAAAAGCAAGCAAAUUCACCGCAAGGUGAAGUGUGCCCACUUAGUCCCCGAGCCUGGUAGUAGGUGACGCAGGCACGUGGUGCCAGGGUCAAAACAAAAGUCCUCAAAGAAAUUCUGUAACUGAGAUGCAUCGCCAGAUGCAUCGUACCGAUGUAGUCCCCGAGCUUGCUGGAAGGCGAAGUAUGAGCCUUGUAGCAAGGUCUAAAAAGUUGAAUUUACCAGUCUGACUGCAAUUGAAUAGAUCAAUCGACCAGUCACCAAGCACCAAGUGCUUUUUAGAAUUCUGUGUUGCUGUACUGUACGACCAGUCCCCGAGCAUCGAGUGCUCGGUGGUCGGUGCAGUUCUUUAUAGCUUUUGGCUGAUAGACUGGGCGACCAGUCCCCGAGCGUCGAGUGCUCGGUGGUCGGUGCAGUCCUUUAUAGCUUCUGGCUGAUAGACUGGGCGACCAGUCCCCGAACGUCGAGUGCUCGGUGGUCGGUGCAGUCCUUUAUAGCUUCUGGCUGAUAGACUGGGCGACCAGUCCCCGAACGUCGAGUGCUCGGUGGUCGGCGCAGUCCUUGAAAGCUUCCGGGCUGAUAGACUGGGCGACCAGUCCCCGAGCGUCGAAUGCCCGGUGGUCGGUGCAGUCCCCGGAAGCUUCCGGGCUGAUAGACUGGGCGACCAGUCCCCGAGCGUCGAAUGCCCGGUGGUCGGUGCAGUCCCCGGAUUGUUGACUCUCUGGCGUAUGUGUCUUCUUGUUUUUUUUUUUGAAAAAAUCUUUCCGGUUAAAGUUGACGUGACGAGGCCUCCUGACGGGGUGUCAGACGGAUGCAUGAAAAGUUGCGCCUGGCAACUGUGCGGCCGCCCUUUGCAUGGUUUGAGAAAAGGAAACCAUCAAUUGGUACGAAAAAUCCGCCGCAUUAAUUGUCUAUAAUCAUUGUAAACCGAAACGCCGCAUCCGCCGCAUGGCCCGCCCACUUCUCGAGAAUACGGGAAGUGGGAGAGGUGGAGUUGCGGGCUAUAAGAGCCUGAUAGUUCCGCCUGUACUGCUUACCCUGCCAUUGCCUUCAAACCUUCCGCUCUCAUCUCCCUCAAUCGCCUGCAUCUUCCUAACUCAAGCCCACACUCGCACCUCUAAUGGCGAAGAGCGACUCCAGGAAGAGGGCCGAACUGAUGGCCAAGGAGUGGAAGAAGUCUCGCAGCACCACGAAAUCUCUUGGUGACCUCGUCGAUAUGGGGCUUCUGCACGGCCCGGAGCUCGGCGGCUGGAGGGCACCGGAGGGGGAGAGCUACCCCGACCCUCGCGCCGGUGAGAUCGUCGUAUUUGAAGAUUUCAUUAAGAGAGGCUUUGGUGUUCCUCUUCAUCCUUUUCUUCAAGGUCUUCUUUUGUACUAUGAGAUCGGGAUUUGCAAUCUGCACCCGAACUCAAUUCUCCUCAUUUCCACUUUCAUCCACCUGUGCGAAGCCUAUGUUGGCAUAGAGCCGCACUUCGAUCUUUUUCGGUAUCUUUUCUGCUUGAGGAAGAAGGGAGCAGUUGGAGGCUCCAAGGUUGCAGGUGGAGUAUACCUCAACCUUCGUGAUGGAAUGAAGAAUCGCUACCUGCACUGUCCAUGGAACACUUCCUUGACCGAAUGGUACAGGAAGUGGUUCUACAUGAGGGAGGAACCGGGCAGCUCCACAUUCUGCGACGUGGGAUACAUUCCUGAGAAGAGGAUGAGCUGGACCGACCGCCCGGAGUUCGACGGUCCAGUGGCGGAUCUCAUGAAACUGAUCGACUGGUCGCGCCUGGACGGGCUUGGCGUGGUCGGCAACUUCAUUUGUCGUCGGGUGAUGCCCUGCCAGAAGAGGGUGCACUCGGCGUACGAGUAUGCCGGAAGCGUGGACCCGACCAGGAUGCGGCCAGAGAUCUUGGAGAAAGCGGAGGUACAACAGCUGUUGAACGAGCUGUUUAACUUCGCGGACGGAGGCUUCAUCCGUGGCAGUGAUCGGGUGCAAGCCUUCAAGUUAGGACGACCAGCACCAAAGGUAUGUAGCAGAUUAUUUUGUUUUAGCAUUCGUAUAUCGUCGGCAGCUGACUCAUCUCUGUUGCUUUUGCAGAUCGGCGAUGUCGACCGGUGCACAGUGUAUGUAUCACUGGCACCGGGGAUGGAAAAUCCUGCGGGAGAAGACCCGCCAGAGGAGGACGCUGCUCGGUGUACUCAUUACACCAGCAGUGAAGAGGACCAAGCCCGCCCCGUCCCGACCUCCGAGGAGAGGGUAGCGGGGAAGAGGCCAUUGCCGGCAGAUCCUUUGCCGACACCGGAGCUGCCGGCAGAUCUACCGGCGGAGAGCAGCCAAGCACCGAAGCGUCGUCGGCUCGUGCGGAUCGUUGACGACGACGACGACGAGGAGGAGGCUGCGCCGUCGUUGGUCCGACGGCCCCGGGGCCGCCCAGAUAAUGCGCCGGCCGCUACUGAUCGAGUGGCCAGCGACGCCCCUGCACCGCAAGUUGUCGAGAUGGGGGCGCAGGUGCCGACCGGCCGGGCGAGGAGGAGGUUCACCACCACCCACCGCCGAUCAGACCUGUAAGUGUUCGACUUACGUAUUUUGGACUCCUCUUUGAUUUUUUAUUUUUAUUUUUUUUUGAAAUUACACUUUUGUUCCUGUAGUGCGGCGUCGGAUGUCGACCCCGGCCAGGCUGCCAGCCAGGGGACGGGCGAGCCAGUCCACGCUGCUGAGGAUACGGCCCCCCAGACCACAGAGCAGCCAACAGCUGCAGUUGCGCCUGGGAGCACCGAGGGGCUCCCGACCGCGGCACCGACUACGACAGGCAGCCCGACCAGGGCUGGAGAGGCUCCCCCAACUUGCUCCCCAGAGGAGGGAAGAUCUCCGACCGCUCCUCCUGCCGGGGGGAGUGAAGUCCCCACGCCGCCCCGAGCAGGAGCCUCUUCGGCUGCGGGCUCCCCAGGUCUGGUCCGAGGACCAGUAAUACCUGGGACCACCACCGAGGGUGACGCAGCACAGGAGGAGGAAACCCGGGCGGCCUCUGAUGAUGAGGUGGAAGAGAUUGAGGGUCGUCCCCGUGAUGGCCGCCAACACGUGUAUGUGUGGCGCCAACGCGGGGAUCACUUUAUCGGUCAUGAGGAGCUCGCCGAGACCGAAGAGGUUGCCAGGGUGGAGCGCGCGGCCAAAUGCCUCGUCGACGAAGUCAAGGUAAGCGACUUUUUGUACUGCUGUACAUUCUAUGCCUUGUCUUGCAUGGUCGUUAUAUGCUCGCUUUGUAGGGCGCAAUGAAAACGGCAAAGUACCGGAAACAGUGCUUUGACCAGAUAGAAGGCGUCAUGGCCGAGAACAAGGCCCUUGCCGCGGAGGUAGACCGGCUGCGUUCGGAGGUCGGGGAGAAGGUGGCCGAGAUGAGUGUCCAGGAGGAGCGUCGUCUCGACCUCACUCGUCGCUUGGCCGACCAGUACCGGCAGCGAGAAGGUUAGUCACACGCUCCGAGCAGCUUUGCGUACUUGUGUAGUUUGCUUUACUGACCAGUUUAUGGUUCACACAGACUUGGAGGAGGAGGUGGCGCGCCUCCGACAAGAGAAGGAGCAGCUCAGCCAACAGCUCGCCGGUGCGCUGGAGUCCGGGCGGCGAGCAGGAGAGGAAUUGGGACGAAAGGACCGAGAAUUAUCUGGUAAUGGGUGCCGCCUUGUUAACUGCUACUUGUCGCCCCUUUGUUUGUUUAGUAUGCUGAAAAUAAUGCCUUGUUUCGUUUGCAGUGCUCAAGGAGAACGCCAAGAAGCACCUGGAUGAUCUGAUCAAGGACCGGGACUCCUGGAAGGUCAACUGUUGCAGGAUCUGGAAAGGAGUGUCCCCGGUCCUAGACCUGAUCAGUCCCGAGCUCCCGGAGAGCCAGCCCCGCGCGCCGCAGUUGACCCCGGUCGAGAAGGCGCAACGGGCGUGGGACUGGCUCCAGCAGUUUGUGAAGGACGCUGGGGAGUUUGCCGGCGCGCACGUCCUCAGCAUGGUGCGCGCCCACUACCCCCUGGUCGACUUGAGCAGGCUGGAAAAGGGGUACCCGAAGGAAGUCGGCCCUCAGGAAGCGGACGAACUUCGGGGUAGUCUGCUGGACUUGUCGUCGACGGUGAUCGGCGACAUCAAUCUGUGCGGAACGGCCACUCCUCCAGACCAGCCGAGUUCAGAUAGGUCGGCCAGGGAGUUGUCGGGCGCGUCCGUUGCGGGAGAUGGGCGGUCGACGCCUGCGGUCUCGACCAGCCAGGCGCCGGUGGCCCCGACCCCUUCGUCCGGGCAGCAGGGCCAGGCGGGUGAUCAGCCCGAGCAGCUAGGCCAAUAAAGUAGUCUGUAGGAAUAGACUAGUGUCUGCCCGUCAGGGUAUUUAUUGUAAACUUUGUGUGUAAAGUUUGUCAUAAAGUUUGCUUUUUUGUCAUGACUGUUGUUUUGAGCGCUGUAAGAAUAUCUGAGUGACGUGUCACCGUAUUCGUCUCGGUAGUCGCUAGGAGCAUCCAUUGCAGGAGUUUUGCCGAGUGCUGUGUGCGACAAGGUAUAGGCAAAAAAAAAUAGAGAAUUUCAUUAUCAAAAAUUAUAAGAUACUUACAAAGGAAAAUUAUCAAAACUUUAUGGAUAGAAACGUCGCAGUUUGUCGAUGUGCCAAGAGUUAGGCACUCGUGUUCCGUCUGGGUAUGCCAAUCUGUAGGAUGUGGGUCGUGUGACCUCGGUCACCACGAAAGGUCCUUCCCAGGGAGUGGAUAGCUUGUGCAUUCCCUCCUGGCUUGUUUUCCAUCGAAGUACCAGAUCGCCGACCACAAAGGAACGGUCUUUGACGUUCCUGUUGUAGUAUCGCCUGACUGCCGUGAGAUAUUUUGCUGUUCGGAGACAAGAAUCUAAACGCUUUUCCUCCAUGCAAUUGAUUUCGAGUUCUCUGGCGUUGUCGGCGGUCGCCUGGUCGAAGUGUUCGAUUCUAGGAGAUCCGAAGUGUAUGUCGGACGGCAGGACCGCCUCUGCACCGUACACCAUGAAGUAGGGAGACACCCCUGUGUUUCGACUGGUCUGAGUUCGGAGGCCCCAGAGCACUGCCGGCAAUUCUUUCAUCCAUCGACCGGGUGCUCUGUCGUUUUCGGUGUACAACCUUUUCUUUAGGGCGUCAACGAUCAUUCCGUUAGCGCGUUCAACUUGACCGUUGGCACGUGGAUGUGCCACUGACACGUAUUUUAUGACUAUACCUCUGUCAUCGCAGAAGUCCCAAAAAGUGGUGCCAGUAAACUGAGUGCCCAGAUCGGUGAUUAUGCUGUUCGGGAUGCCGAAUCUGUGUAUGAUUUGAUUGAGGAACUCCACAGCCUUCUCGGAGGUUGCCUUGACCAUGGGCAUGUAUUCAAUCCACUUGGAGAACUUGUCGAUUAACACGAAGACAAACUUGAAAUUGCCCGGGGCUGGUUUAAAUGGUCCGAUCAUGUCAAGCCCCCAGCAAGCAAAGGGCCAAGACGACGGGAUGGUUUGAAUUUCAUGGGCAGGUACGUGGGUCCUCUUAGCGAAAAACUGACAUCCUUCGCAAUGUCGAACCAGUUUUUCUGCGUCGCCGACCGCGGUUGGCCAAUAAAAACCUGCUCGGAAAGCCUUUCCGACCAACGUUCUAGAUGCGGCGUGAUUGCCGCAGGAUCCAGCAUGUAUGUCCUCUAAGAGCUUGAUACCAUCAUCUUGGGGUAUGCACUUGAGCAGUACUUCGGAGCUUGCGUUUUUCCGCAUGAGUUUUCCGUCGACCAGGAUAUAGUUCUUUGAUCGUCGGAUGAGGCGCUCGUUCUCUGUUUUGUCCUGAAAACCUGUCCCGUCUGAUAUGUAUUUGAUGAACGGGGUACGCCAGUCACGCCCACCGGUUGUCGGAGUGGCGUCGUCUAUGAGCAUUGCCUCGGUGGGUUGCUUGUCGACCAGGGAGGAGCCUACGCUCGGCUCAUGGAUGUCCUGGACGAAAAUACCCCGCGGGAUUUGGGCCCGAGAUGAGCCUAACUUUGACAACGCAUCUGCUGCUUGGUUCUUAUCCCGGACCACGUGGAUGUAUUCUAUGCCAUAGAAGUUGGUUUCCCAUUUGCGAAUUUAUUUGCAGUAGAGAUCCAUCUUCUCGUGGGUUGCGUCCCACUCCUUGUUGAGCUGGUUGAUGACCAAAGCGGAGUCGCCAUAGACAUAGAGGCGCUUGACCCCCAGUUCAACGGCUAGUCUUAUGCCAUGCAAGCAUGCUUCGUAUUCGGCGACGUUGUUUGACGCCGGAAAAAGGAUCCGAAGGACGUAACGCAGCUUGUCCUUGUUGGGUGAUACGAACAGUAUCCCAGCGCCGGCACCGUUGAUGUUCAAGGACCCAUCAAAGAACAUUGACCAGUGGUCUGAGACAUCGGGAACGGGAGGCUCAUUGAGAUCCGUCCAUUCAGCAAUGAAAUCGACCAGGGCCUGAGACUUGACCGUAGUUCGGCUCUGGAACUCCAGCGAAAAUGGGCACAAUUCCAUCGCCCAUUUCAUGAUUCUGCCAUUGGCGUCUUUAUUGCGUAGGAUGUCCCCGAGAGGGAAACUAGUUGUCGCCAGGACUCGAUGGCCGUCGAAGUAGUGCUUCAGCUUUCUUGAUGUUAUCAGAAUGGCGUAUAUGAGCUUCUGUAUUUGUGGAUACCUGGCCUUGGACUCGUUUAGGACUUCACUUAUGAAGUAAACGGGUCUCUGGACCUUGUAGGCGUGACCUGGUUCAUCUCGCUCGACCACUAUUGCCGUGGAAACAACCCUGUCGGUUGCAGCAAUGUAAAGAAGUAGGUCUUCAUUGGGUUGGGGCGCUGUGAGGACAGGUGGUGAAGUGAGGAAGGUCUUAAGCUGAGUGAACGCAGCGUCGGCUUCCUCCCAGCCUUGAGAUGAAACGCUCGACCAAGAAAAUUUUUCUGACGCUUUCAAUAGUUUGAAGAAAGGGAGGCCUUUUUCUCCCAGCCUUGAGAUGAAACGACUGAGGGCGGCCAUGCAUCCGGUUAGCUUCUGAAUGUCCUUGAUGUUCUUCGGUGGUCGCAUGUCGAGUACGGCUUUGACUUUUGAAGGGUUUGGUCGUAUGCCGUCGCGACUGACGACGUUGCGGAGCAGUAGACCGGAAGGAACGCCGAAAAUGCAUUUCUUGGGGUUGAGCUUCCACUUGUACCUAUUGAGUGCCUUGAAGGUUCGGUCUAAGUUGUCGAUUAGGGUGCUCGCGUCCCUUGUUUUUACGACCACGUCGUCCACAUAGGCCUCGACGAGGUCAUCGCGAAUCUCGUCGUGGAGGCAUUGCUGGAUGGCCCUUUGAUAAGUGGCCCCGGCGUUUUUGAGUCCGAAAGACAUGGUCGUGUAGCAGUAUGCGCCGAAGGGUGUGAUGAAGGAUGUUUUGAUCUGAUCCUCUUCCUUUAGCGAGAUCUGGUGAUAACCAGAGUAGCAGUCUAGAAAGGAGAGGAGUUCGCAUCCGGCCGUUGAGUCGACCACCUCGUCGAUGCGAGGGAGACCAAAAGGAUCUUUAGGACAGUGUUUGUUAAGAUCAGUGUAAUCAACGCACAUUCUCCAUUCAUUAUUCUUUUUGCGUACAAGAACCGGAUUGGCGAGCCAAUCGGGGUGAUACACUUCUUUUAUGAAUCCGGCUGCUAGAAGCCGUGUUAUUUCUGCCCUAAUAGCCUCCUUUUUGUCACGAGCGAACCGUCGCAGUUUUUGCUUGAUUGGUCUUGCGGUCUUCGAGACAUUUAAGGAGUGCUCGAUCAGGUUUCGUGGGACACCGGGCAUGUCUGCGGGUUUCCAUGCGAAAACGCUCACGUUGUCCCCUAGAAACCUGACGAGCGCGUCUUCCUAUUUUGGAUCCAGGUUGGCCCCGAUGAGGGCUGUUUUCUCGGGGUUGCCUUCGACCAGCUGCACUUCUUUGUACUCCUUGGAUUUUGAGUUCUUCCUGGCUGUCGCCUGUUCGGGUAAUUGGAGCUGGUCGGGAGGUAGCUGUGCGGCUUGGUUUGUUGUUUCCGCCAUGCGGAUUGAGAGGUCGAUUGCCUCGGUGAUCUUGAAGCUUUCUUCUUCGCAGGUGUACGCAGUGUAGACGUUGCCUCUGACGGUUAAGACGCCCUUCUCCGUGGGCAUCUUAAGGACCAGGUAUGAGUAGUGCGGGACUGCCAUGAACUUUGUCAGCGAUGGGCGGCCCAGUAUGGCGUGAUAGGUCCCGUCGAAAUCCGCGACUACGAAGUUGAUGAACUCCGUCCGGAAGUGGUCGGGUGUGCCGAAUUGGACAGGCAAUGUUAUCUGUCCGAGGGGCACUGAACUUUGACCUGGCAAAACCCCCCAGAAUUGGGCGUCGUAAGGUUUUAGUUGUGCCGGUGGUAUCUUGAGGGCGGGCAGGCUGUUGCGGAAGAGGAUGUCGAUGGAGCUUCCCCCGUCCACGAGCACGCGCUCGAAUCUGAUGCUGUUGAUGCAGGGGUCAAGAAUCAGUGGGAAACGACCCGGCUCUGGGAUAGCGGCCCACUGGUCCUUUCUGCUGAACGAGAUCUCCCUGUGGGACCACGUGGGAAAUUUCGGAUCUGCGAUCAGCCCGUCCGUGCUGUCUAUGUUGAGGCAGGCUCUCUUUAACAGCUUUCUUUCUCGCUUGGACUCAGUGGAGACCUUGCCCCCGAAAAUGGAGUGGACCACGUCAGUGGGGCUGACGUAUUGGUGUCGGGGGUCCCUAUCUUGGUCCUCAUCCUCAUCUUCGUGGUCGUGCCCGUCGCGCUUGUUAUUUUUCUUGGCGGAGUCCUCUUGGGCGGCCCGCCGUGUAUAGAUACUUUUGAGGACGCGGCACUCUUCCAUGGUAUGAUUGGACUUUGGGUGUAGCUGGCAUGGUCCCUUCAACGUUUUGUUGUAGUCUUCUUGGUAGUCCCGUCGUCCAUUGGGACGUUUGACCGUAUUUACUUCGUGGUCGUAGUCGCGAGGGCGCUUUCCUCUGAAGUCGUCGCGGCUGUCGCGCCGCCGAUCCCAACCCUCUCGGUGAUCGCGGUUGUCGGAGCGGCGGUGAUUUCUGUUGUCGUAGCGACCACGACCGUCAUCUCGCCGGGGAGGCUGGUCGGGGCCUCUCGCAUCGUCUCGGAUUAGUUUUUCUGCGUCAUCGGCAUCGGCGUAAUUUUUGGCCGUGGCGAGGAGCUCUGCUACCGUUGAUGGGCGCUUACGCAACAGCUUGUUCCUCAGCGCUUCGUGGAAACGCAAGCCCUUGAUGAAGGCUGAGAUGGCCUCGUCAUGAGAAAUCUUCGGGAUUUUGAGGCGCAUAUCCGAAAAUCGUCGGAUGUAAUCGCGCAGAGGUUCAUUCUUCCUGUCCCUUAUUCUUUCAAGGUCAUACUUGUUUCCAGGCUGCUCGCAUGUGGCGAUGAAGUUGUCGAUGAAAGCCUGGCGUAGCUCUUCCCAAGAGUCGAAGGAGUCCUCGGGCAAGCCGAGAAGCCACUGAUGACCAGCCUGGUCGAGGACUACGGGGAAGUAGUUAGCCAUGACAUGCUCAUCUCCUGCCGCUGAUCGGACUGCGAUUUCAUAGAGGGUGAUCCAGUUCUCUGGAUUUUCCUUGCCGUCGUAUUUUUUAAGUUUUUCGAGCUUGAAAUUGCGAGGCCACACGACCUGGCGGAGGUGUGAGGAGAACUGUCUUAGGCCCGGAGGACCGUGGGUUGCAUCGUACUCGAUGCGGCGCAGGUUUUCGUGGACUGCUCUCUCUACGGCGCGCCUGUUGAUGCGGUCCCGGGCAUCUUUGGAAGGGAUGUUGUGGCGGAGAUCCCUGUGUUGAUCUUCUUCUUGGCCGCGUACGCGGUUCUGCUUGCGGCGGCCAUCGGCGUCCCGACCACCAUCGUCGCGGCGUGAGUCCCCUCGACGGUUGUCGGGGGAGCGGCUGCGGUGACGCCUGCUGGGUGAGACCUGGCUACGAUUAGUCUGGUCGGAGGCGGCUUCUGUGUAAGAAACGUCCUGGACUCUCUUGAGCAGAGUGGCUGUCUGUCCCAUUGCGGCGAUCAGGUGCGCUCGGAUGCUGGUCCGGACUCCCUGGCAUUCGGGGGUGUCAGGAAGCCGAUCCAGGUUAGCCAUGGCGACAGCCACGUUGGCGCUUGGCGUUUUGUAGACUGGCUGGUCCCCGACCAUGUCAAAGGCAUCGUUGAGGUUAUUUGGUGGCAUCUGUUGUUGCUCGUCCGCACGUCGUCGGGCGCGAUCGGCGUUACGCUGUUCGCGGAGUUGCCUCUGGUCAUCUGUUUCUCCGUCAACGGCCGGUUCAUCGGCGCUGACAUUGAACACAAUAUCCCCUCGCCGGGGGGGGGAAUAUCGGGAAUCGGUCGAAACCCGGAGGGUGUGAAGGAAAAUCCAGGUCGUAGCCCUCGUCUUCGGUGUUUAUAACCUCGGUGGGGACGGAGCCGGUGCUUGAGUUGGUGCUGGAAACCCGGCCGUCCCGUAGCUCUCGGAUUGUCACCAUGUUGACAUGGUGACGAUUGUUCCUUGUCGGCGACCAACCCGCCUUGCUGAAAACGGAUUGGACAUGCUGUGAGUAAACAGAGGCCGAGUUGUUCAGGCCGCAAGGAUAGUCUUCCUUCUUGAGCUCGACGGAUCGUCCUGAGGGGGUUGAGGUUAUCGUCAGGGACGUUCCCAGCCGUUCGUGUGUGGCGACACGAGUUGGCCGGCGGGAUUUCGAAAAAUCCGCUCGAGCAGCUUGGUCGGGCCGGCGCAGAACUCCAUCUAUUAGUUGGGAGACUUCGAGUAGCUUGGAGUCAGCGCGAUCGAGCGCUCGGAGAAGGUCCGAGCAGUCGAUCUCCUUUCCCUUGUAGAGUGGGAACGGUGGUCGGGCGCUUGGUGCCGUCUUGCGUGUAGUCGGAGACGGCGCGAUCUCAGAUUGGAUCUGGAUCUCUUUCGGAACCGUGGUCGCGAAGCCGCCGCUGCACGUCGUCCACGUGAUCUGGCCGACAGUGAACGUGAGGCCUUCGGGCACGGUCGCGGAAGCUGGGAUCGUGACCAUCUUGUUCGCCGGAAAAGUUGCACGCACACCCCCUACCUGGCGCGCCACUGUCGACGAAAGCUAGUCGGCAGUCUACCUUGGGGUAUACCCACGGUAGUAGUUUGUCGGUAGACGGUGCGCAAACUACGAACUCGAUGGUGACGCAAGACACGGACAAGCUUUUUAUCCAGGUUCGGCCGCCGAGUUGGCGUAAUACCUACGUCCUGCGUCUGGUUGUAUUGAUUUGUGUUGAGAGAAUCUGAUCUGUCCUAGGGGGGUCCCUUGCCCCUCCUUAUAUAGUCUGGAGGGCAGGGUUACAGAUCUGGAAACUAAUCCUAGUCGGUUACAAUUGCCAUGGAUAAUUCGAUAUCAAUUCCUAUUCUAACCGACCAGAAAUCCUGCUUGAUCUCCACAUCUUGUUUCCUUGCGCGGAACUCCAGGUUGUCGGAUCAAGCUUUGAACUCGUCUCGUAAUGGGCCAAGCCUCCUGGCCCAAGUCCAGUCGUAAGGGUAUAGGGGUUUAUACCCCCACAUAUCCCCUCCCUUAUCCUCUCACGGUCUCUCCUUUGGUCCUUCCCAUGUCGACUCCAUGUGGGUGGCCGCCGUUCUUCUCUUCCAAUCAAAUCCACGACGAGGAGGCCACACCCUUCUCCUCCGGCCAGAUCCAUGCCAUGGGAACCUCCCUUCUUCUUCUCCAGCCAGAUCCACGACGUGGUGGCCGCGCCCUUCUACCCCAGCCAGAUCCAUGCCAUGGGAACCUCAGGAAGCUCCGCCGCCUCAUCCUUGAUGCCAAGCUCACGCCCUUCCACCGGGGCGCCGACGACGCGCGCGCCGACCUCGACGAGUGCCCCAUCUACUUCCUGGUAACCAUCCUCUUCCCCAUCUGCCCCAGAUGCAGUUCUACACUAAUUACUCCUCGUUAUGCUGCUCUGUGGCGACGCCGAGGCAUCCGGGCCUUCCUCCAGAUUUCAUCUCCAAGGACGUAGGUCCCCGGCUGCUGCGCGUGCCGUGUCGUACAACUCCCCAAGCAAGGAGGAGCCGCCAGUCCUGUUGCUCCUCCAUUUUCUAUAUGUGAGUAUAGUAGUUUCUGAAACUAACAGCCGGAUUUCUUCAUCUAAAUUGCAUCAGUUCCUAGAUGUACUACAUGCUGCUGCUCUCAACGCACUGGGAUAUGAUGCACUUAUGGUUGAUUUAACUGAAAUGCUUAAUGAUUUGUGCUCAACGGAUUUCUGGAACUUUUGUAACACUGAAGUUACUGAAUUUGAGUUCUUGUAACUGAAUUGCAUGUGACUUUGUUUGACGAGUGGCUGCUUGGACAAUACUUUGAUAAAUAAACAAAGGUAUGUGCUAUAAUUUAUUAUUUGGCACAUCUAAUCGAUAUAGUAUACAAUCUUCAUAUCUAUUAUUUGUAUAUAGGUAAACAUAGUCCAAUGCAGAAACUAUCAUGACACUCCAAAACAAUUCUGUCCCAUGAUUUUGCUUCAAGUAAGGUUGAAAUUAAUUCUUAUAGCAUUAUAUGAUGUGAUUAUCUUGCUGUAUGGAACUCUGAAACUAUGCAUUGGUGCCAAAAGUGUUGGUUGUUUACUUGUUAUCUGUUUUCAGAAUUUUGGACUAGCAUAUGUAUUGAAUUUGUUAACUAGUUUCAAAGCUUCCUAAUAAAUAGAUGACAUUUCUUUUUAGAAUCUUUGCUAGCAAAUCUGACUUAUAUUUGUUUUGAUUUUCAGGUAGCACAUCUUAUGGACAGCAAGUGAAUUGAAGUGCUCGUGAAUACUAAUGUUUAGUUGUUUAGACUCCCUAGAUAUCAAAUCUUUUAGUUCAAACUUAGAUAUUGUGAUAGUCACUCUAAUGGUUGUGAGCUAGGCCAAUCUGUGGCUUGAUGUUCAAUGUGGCUGUUGUGGACAUGCUAGUACAUGAAUGAAUUAUUGUUUGGUGAAUCUUACGAGUUGUGAUGCAUGUUGAUGAAGUGAUGAUUUGGCACUUAUUUUUUAUGUUCUUUUCAUCACUAUGCUUUGGAUGUGGGCUUGGAUCUGGGCUGGUUAUAGAAGAUAGACAACUAACCCAUGACGAUCACAUAUCCUAAUCUAUGACGGCUCAAUUAGAUCCAGCAAAUGUAUGACGUGAGAUACAUGACAGAUUUUUCGAUCGUCAUGGCAAGUUAACUGUGACGUAUUUUUGACUGUCUGUCACCAAAGUGAUCGUCAUGUAAAGCACCAUUCCUUGUAGUGGACAGACGUCGAGGCUGUGGCGAAGUGCAGGAGCUGGAGUGGUGGUGGGUGGUGAGAUGCAGGCUGGAACGGUCGGGAGAGUAACGCAGGGUCGAGGCGAUGCGUGAAGGGAACUGUGACGGCGACGUGAGUAGUGAGAGCGGGAGGAGUGGCAUGGCAGCUGCUGGACAUCUCAGUCGGCGGCUGUAUCGUUUUCCUCAUGUAUACUAUACCCUUGUUAUCGUCAAAGCUGGGUCGUUUGCUCUUGGGGCUCACGGAUCGAUCCUAGGUUGAACACCUGUGUGUCCUUAAUUUGGCUUAAAGGAAACAGUACUGACGUACGUACGUGGACACACCGUUUGCAUAGUUGCUGCUCAUCACUUCAUCAGAAAUAAAAGUUCUCAUUGCUUGCUCGCCUUUAUCGGGGCAAGCGUAUUCUUGGCACCAAGCAGCCAUAACGAGCCGAGAGGGAUGGCUGCUGCCUGCUGUUAUCUGAAAAUAUUAAUCUACAGUACAUUCUACUCAUGGCAAAAUCUUUAUCUGAAAGGAAUAAAAGGAACGUUUGUUUAGUUGUGACUUGAGAUCGCCAUUCUGCUGCGUCGACUGCACUCGUUUUUCUAAGGCCUUGUUUAGAGCCCGUACGGCCCUGUGCGAUUGAACUAGGCCCUCUUGAGAUCGCCAUUCUGCUGCGUCGACUGCACUCGUUUUUCUAAGGCCUUGUUUAGAGCCUGUACGGCCCUGUGCGAUUGAACUAGGCCCUCCAAAUUUAUGGGCCUUAAAAUUUAUUGAGCGUCCUAAGUAUAUAUAAUAAUUUUAAAUUUGUUUUAAUUAGUAAAUUAGUCACAUACUCAAUAAAAGUGGCCCGCUACUUAUUUCAAGAGAAAGUACAUUGAGUCUAUAAUCCUGAGUUAGAAAAGUCUAUGAUCGGUAAUUCUUCUUCACGUAAGUUUGUAACCCUUCGUGAGUUUGUGACUUCAUCGCUUGGACUUGUUGCUCGCUCUUGGUGUUGUUUGUCGCUCAAGAGUCGAGACCUAGUAGCAACCUUAGACGGCCGGACCCAAAUCAGGACACCAGACGGAGAUCAUUGCCUAGUAUAAAUUUCAUGCACAACCCCUAUUUUAUUUAGUUAAUCUUUUAUACAUUGCCUUUGUAAUAUAUUAAUAUUUGAUAUUAUCUUUUUUAGAUUUUGACAAUAUAUAUUAGACCUCUACUUGUUGUUUUGAACUGGGCCUCAUAUUUAUCCGGGACGUGCCUGCAUAUAUGGAGCAUUAAAUAUAGAUAAAAAAUAACUAACUGCAUAGUUUGCAAGAUGAUUCAUUUAAGCCUAGUUAGUUAGUCCAUAAUUGAACAAUAAUUGUCAAAUACAAACGAAAGUGCUACGGUAGAUAAACCUAAAAAAUUUUAGAGAUACAUACAUCUUUUUUUCCUUGGUUUGCUUGGUAUACUGUAUUUUGAGGCGCCUCAAGUCAAACUGCAAAUUAAGUUUUUAGAUGUAUUUAUAUUGCAUUUUUGUAGUUUAUCUAUUUGACGUUAACACUUUGUUUUAUAAGUUUAGUCAAACUUUGAAUAGUAACAUGCUUCGUGUGAACAACGAUAUCACACAAAGUCACAACAUGGCGUGGUCUUAUCUUCGAGUUGAAGAGACGAUUAUAAAUGGCAUUCAUCCUUGAGUCACUUAGAAGAGGAGACGACUCGUCGGAAAUAUUUUGCUUCUUCGGAAGAGCAGGCUACCGAUCAGGGGUGGAAAGGUUGUUUCACAGUUGGUGGGGGCAUCAUCGCGCCGAGGCUAAAAAUUCUUUUUUUUUUUGUAUACAUAUAACGGCUAGUGAAAGUGUAGCAUACACAAGUUCUCACUCUCACCGUUGCCAAUGGAUUGGCUUCAAAGCGAGACAGAGUCCUAUACGAAACAAAAGUUCGUUUGCCGGCGCCCACGGAGUCGUCACCAACUGACCAUGCAUGGUUCCCAUACCGAACAUGGUUUCUAACAUAGAAAUGGACACAUCCUGAUAGAACUGAACCACACGCACAGUUAACCAGCCACACAGCAUACGAUCAAUUAAUUCUACAAAUGCAAUGUCAUUUGCAUAGCACGUAUAUGGUGAUAUAGGUAGUUUUCUUUUUAUUUUUCUACCGAAGCCACUCCUGUCCACCAACCCAACCUUUGGUGAUGAACGGUGCAGCUUGAGCCUGCGACAUGUCGUGAGACCACGCUACUCUUCCGUCAGUCUUGGAGCCUUCCCCGUAGCACUGGUACUGCCCGUAGAACGCUGUCCUGCACGGCCACAUUAUUAUUGAACCAGAAACACGUCAGGAACGAUCGGAGAACGAACGUACGCUACGCGAGAAAUCGUUUCAGCUAGCAGCAGCAGCUGUAGUGCGCACAGUGCACCUCUGCCUCUGUUUGUCGCCGUCGGUCCAGUCGUCCCAGCCCUGGGGCCUCACCGUGCUGGACAUGUAGCUGAGCGCGAAGACGACGCGGGAGUAGGGACCCCAGGGUCGCCCCAGGAUGGACGUGCCGGCCCCGAGCCCCGUCAGCUUGCACCCCACGAAACUGAACCCGGUGUCCUCCGACUCCGACCACCGUUUAUGCGCCGUGAACGCGCCGCCGGCCGCCGACACGGAGUGGAGGUGGCACUUCUGCAUGCGUACGACGACAUCAGUUUGAUCGAGUAACAGAAAUAAUAUGGAUUUUUGAUGAUGGAUGGAUCGAUCGACAGGGUAUAUACGCACAUCGAACAGAGCCUUGCCAUUGCCGAAGAUGAAGUCGGUGGCACCUUGGACGUAGCAGCCGCGGUAGUAAUGGCGGCCCGUGUCGUCCAGGAGCGUGUCCUGGAACGACACGAACCUGCACCCGUAGAACGCCGCCCUGUCUCCGGCGACCCUCAUGGCGACUGCCGGCCCGCUACUCCCAAACGUGUUCUGCAUUGCAAAUGAAUAACGGAACCAAUCAAGACCGUGCUACGUAUGUAUGCUAAUAAAGUACAUGAACCAAUUAAUCAAAAGACUGCAUAUAUUUGCACACCUGGAACGCUAAGCGCUUGGCGAUGAAGUCGGAGGCUAGCACGGAUACUGUCGGGCUCUCGGAGGCCACCCAGGACUCGUUCCAGGUGAUGAUGGUCGAGCUGGCGCUCGUGCCCACGAGAGUUAUGCAAGGCUUGUCCACCACCACUUUCUCUCUGCACAAAUUGGAGUGCAAACCAAACGUAGCACUAGAGAUUAGCUUUGAUCCUUUUUUUUAAAAAAAAAGAGAGAGAGAGAGAGAGAGAGAGAGAGAGAGAGAGAGAGAUUAGCUUGAUGAUCAACAUGUGGAUCCAGAAAUGAGCGAGCAUGCAUGCGUGUGUACACGCCAGAUCUCGAGCGAGAGAGCGAGCUAGCAUCGUCGCGUUCACCACUACACUUGCCUGUAAACUCCCGGCUUGAUCCGGAUGACGACGCCGCCGCCGCCGCUGCCGGAGCCACCCGCCGGUGCCGCAUCGAUCGCGUCCUGGAUCCUCCUAUGGUCGCCUUUGCCGGACUGGUCGACCAGGAGGACGAGCUGCCGCGACCGCGAGCCCGUCGUCAGCAUAUCGCCGCCCACGCCGUCGUCUUCAGUGGCUGCGCAUGCAGAAGCUGCAGGCGACGAGAGCCAGCAGCCCUGCUGCUGCCCGGCGGCGCCUUGGCGCGAUUUAACAACAUGCUAGUCCCGAGUCCCCGACGAUGAUGAUGAGUCGACCGUAAGGCAUGGAGCUCGCUUUCGCGCGAACCGGUGCACCAACCAGGCAAGUAUAUAUGUAUAUAUAAUAUAUAUGUGUAGCCAGGUCAACUGCUGGCUAAAUACGCAAGCUUUGCCGAGAGCCAGACCCUCGGCAAAGACAACCUUUGCCGAGAGCCCUGUCAUCCUCUCGGCAAAGAGCCUUUGCCGACGGCCAGGCUCUCGGCAAAGAGGGGCUCUAGGCAAAGGUCAGCUUUGCCGACAAGCCCUCGGCAAAGAUACCGUGCCGUAAACGGCUGCCGUAGUCAUCACCUUUGCCGAAAGCCGUGCCGUUAGGCUCUCGGCAAAGAGGUGACCUUUGCCGAGGGCAACUGCAGGCCCUCGGCAAAGACCCCGUUCAUGUUUUGCUCCCGUCCGAGUCGGAGUUUUGGCAGUACCUCCCCGUUGUUCUCCGGAUACACACUCUCCUUGCUAGGACGUGUACUAGGGGUGAGGCGCUAGCGACUUCGAGGAGUGAUAUUCAUGUGGACUUGUGGUUUAUGUUAUGAACUUGUGGUUUAUGUUAUGAACUUAUGGUUUAUGUUGGACGUAAUGUUAGAUUUGUCAUAUCUAUGUGGAUUUGUGAUAUCUGUGGACUUCGAUAUGUUUCAUGUGUGAUAUAUAUGUGGAUUGUGAUAUAGACAAAGGGAUUUGUGAUAUAUAUAUAUACAUAUGUGGCUGUGCAUGUAAAAAACAGAGAAAAAAUAAAAAACAAAACUAAAUUCCCAGCUUUGCCGAGAGCCUGGAUGGCUGGCAUUCGGCAAAGAUAGAAAGCCGGGUUCAGAAGAACUACAGCUUUGCCGAGAGCCUGGUUGUCUAGCUCUCGGCAAAGGGGUUCUUUGUCGAGAGCCUGGCUGUCUGGCUCUCGGCAAAGGUGGUCUUUGCCGAGAGCCUUCCUGCAGGGCUCUCGGCAAAGAACCCCUUUACCGAGAGCCAGACAGCCAGGCUCUCGGCAAAGGCUUUUUUUUUAAAAAAUAAAGAAUCUUUGCCGAGAGCCUGCCAGCACGGCUCUCGGCAAAGACGACGUCAAUAUUGACGUUUCUCGACGGCGCCGUAGGCUUUGCCGAGAACGUUUCUAGCCCUCGGCAAAGUCUUUGCCGAGAGCCUGCCACGUGGCUCUCGGUAAAGAAUUUUUUGCCGAGAGCUUCUUUGCCGAGAGCUCUUUGCCGAGAGUCACGUGGCAGACCCUCGGCAAAGCCUUUGCCGAGAGCUUUUAGGCCUUUGCCGAGAGCUCUAGGCUCUCGGCAAAGAAGCCGGAUCCAGAAGUAUAGGUUGCAAGUACGAGAGUGUAUGCUUGCGCGGAUGGGCGUGCGGUGUUCCGUUACGCGAGUUGGUGCCAAACUAGAUACGCACAGGCACUGGUUGGUGCCUGAUGACACUAUUAGCUCUAGUACCGUCGGGAAAUCCACGCACAUAACGUUUGGACGAAGAUAUUCAUCAUUUCACGGGAGCGCCAACUGCUGGUCUAAUAACCAGCUAGCAGGCGUGCAAUGGCGGAAUGCGCGCGAAAAGUGUUCGGGCCGGGUAGCUUCACUUGGAGCAAAGGAAUUGAAUUUGCUGAUGAUGAUCGGUAAAUACUGAUAUAUAGUACUCCCUCCAUCCUAAAUUAUAAGUCGUUUGAAUUUUGUUACCCUAAGUUUGACCACUCGUCUUAUUCAAAAAAUUUGUGCAAAUAUAAUCAAAUUUAAGUCAUUUUUGAAGAACUUUUAUUAAUAAACCAAUACACAACAAAAAAAAUGAUAUUUUGUAUAAAACUUUAAAUAAGACAAGUGGUCAAACUUGAUAUUAAAAAAGUCAAACGACCUAUAAUUUAGGAUGUAUUGAGUACUUGGCUUGUUGCGUCGGUCCAAUCCACAUGCAUAUGUAAAAGGCUACGUAGAGAUAUGUACAGUUGCGGUCAUCGUAACUAGACUAGAUGCACAUCUUGGCUGUUAUGGAAUUUUUCCAUUUGCAUUUUUGUCCGCGACGACUGUGGGCUGGUCGAAAUGUUUUGCGGUGUUCAGUGUGUUGCUUAAAGUUUGUGCUACACUGUGGGCUGGUCGAAAUAGUUUUUUAAUUAGUGUCUUGUUUGAAUCCCCAUCAAAACUUGCAUCUAGACCCAUCCCACUGCAAAUAACAUAGGUGACAUACAUUCAUAUAUGUUCUUAAAUUUAUGGGUAGACGUUAGGUACCCGAGGGUAAAUUUUAAUACUAACAUCUAUCGCAUUUUUUGCGAGUACCCGACCUUUAUGCGCAACUGUGGGUAAAUUUUUAUGCCCGUGUUCAUACUCAUUGGAUACUAAAUCCACAGGUAUCUGCACCUGUGUAUAAAAGUGCAGACAUAACAGCACCAAAGCUACAUGUUAACUAGAGGGUGCAAAUGCACCUCCAAAAAUUAUAAAACAGUGAUUAGAUUCAAAAUUUCAUCAUAUAUGCAUCUCCCAUAUAAGAUGUCUAUGGAUUCACAAGUUAAGUGCACCCUUCUCUAAUUUGCUCUAGCUUCGCCACUAUUCAACACCCCACAUUGCAUUUUAUUGUAUUUUUAAGAUAGAUUUCUGUAAAAUCAAAUAUAAAAAAGAAAUAAAAAACACCAACCAAAUACUUUAGAUGCUCGCAAACAAUCAUUCAAUAGUUGGGGGUCAAAAAAACCCUCGGGGUUUCAAGGGAAAAGGAAAAGAUCUUUCUUUGUACAGGUCCUUUGUCAAUCUCAUUACUGACAAGUGACAGAUAGAUCUUUCUGUCACCAUUUUAUAUUUCUGUUUUCUCUACUUAGUUAACAAAAAAAAUUUAUUUUUUUUUAAGAUUUUCUGUCACAUCGAAUCUCUAGACGCAUGUAUACAACAUUAAAUAUAGAUAAAAAAUAACUAAAUGCAUAGUUUAUCUGUAAUCUGUGAGAUCAAUCUUUUGAGCCUAGGUAGUUCAUAGUUAAACGAUAAUUAUCAAAUACAAAUGAAAAUGCUAAGUAGCCAAACUCAAAAAUUUUCACCAACUAAACUACCAGCUGUCUGAAGUACUGCAAGCUGCACCUCUCCGGCGUUGCUUUAUAUUUUUUUAAAAAAAGUUUCUUGCCAUCUUUUUUUUCCUCGACCGUGCAUUGGCACGUUCAAUACUUCAAUCCUGCUAUUUUGAGGCCGUUUGGAAUAUGGGAUUUUCCCCUUGUUUCUGUAUUUUUCUAUAAAAUUAAGGGUUUGUUUAGUUCUCCAUUUGAGUCAAAUUUUUUUUUGAGUUUCAGCCUAGCAUUUUGCAUAAUAGAACUAAACACCAUCCAAAACUUUUUAGCAAAAUUAUUGCCAUUUUUUUCAUUCUGGAUUUUGGUCUCGAGAGAAAAAAAUGCCCAAAAGAGCCUUCCAAUCUUAAGGAAUUAAACAUUUGUAUGGAUCUAAAUAUAACCUUGAAAAUUUUGGCAUUUUGCAUUUCAUAAUUCUAAAGUAGUUGAUAUUUUGCAUUUUGUAUUCCAUGAGCUAGGAACUAAGUAGGGGUUAAUUUGUACAAUUCUCGUAUUAUUUUUGAGAAAUUUCUGCGUUCUAAACAGGGUGUUUCUUCAUAAACAAAAAAAAAAACAAAAAAAAAGAGGACGAGAAAAACAGAGCUGACGAAAUGGAGUCAACUGUCAAGGAACUUUUCUACCAUUUUUCUGUUUAAGGCACGAAAUCUUCCUAGCUUCCUCUUGGUGUGCACGGAAGUGAUCAGAGGAAGCAACCUCUGCAACGCAAGAAACAACAUUCAGCGGCCUGAACUUGUAAACUAUCACCCGAGAUUCCUUUCUUCCCUCGAAAUGGCAAAGGCAGGCACCAAUUCUUGUUUGCCAUCUAAGGGAGAAAACUUGCAUCAUAACUUCAUAGGAGGCGACCCAUCGUAAGCUUCAGCAGCUGAUCGGAGAACUCACCCGCCCACCCCGAUCGAGCUAGCACCCAGAGAAACGCAAGAGCAGGACAGCAUUUGCUGAUUUGUUCCAUCAAGGUACGUGAAGCUUGACUCGUUUAAUUUCCGCUUGCCAAUGUACUUAGGGUUGUUUAGUUCCUAUUUUUUCUCAAAAAAUUUUAGGUUUUGGUCCAUCAUUUUGCAAAAUAGAACUAAACACCAUGCAAAAUUUUUGGCAAAAAGGUAGUUAUUCUCUAUUUUGAAUUUUGGCCUCAAAGAGGCCAAAAAAACCUAAAAUGAGCCUCAAGAGGUUUUAUGACAAGAAUAAAUUCUGCAUUUUGGAUGAAACUAAAUAUCUGAAAAUUUUGAUAUUUUGCAUUUCAUCACUCCAAAGUAGUUGACAUUUCGUAUUUUGGAUUCUAUGGGAACUAAACACCCCCUUAGCGAUUUUUUUUGAAUAACCCCUUAGCGAAAAUUCAAUGCAAAACCCAAGAAAUCAAGACAAAUUCAGCGACUAUACUUGCUUUUUUUCUGAGGGAUCUGGAGGGAGCCCCUAUCUACUUGCUUUAUUCAAGAAACAAGACACACUUAGGCUAUGUUCAGUUCCCAGGGAAUCAGCCCCUAAAUUGUAUAGCUAAUUUUUACCGGGAUUGAAUCCUGCCACGAACGAGCCCUUAGCCUAUUUUCGUACCAAAAGACACCUCGACAAAAUGGCAUACUGAAGUUAGCAGUAGAUUUUUACAACGUUAGGUCCAUAUAAACCAAACAAAGCUGAUAAUCACGUAUCAUGUUAUUGUCAUUCCAUCAGGCAGAUCAAACAUGCAAGGGAUCACGAAGGCGCUGCGCCUCCAUGGAAGGCAGCUAAGGCACACAGUUCUGCAACAUAUGAACAAGGGGAUCUUCUCCUGGGCCACCCUUAUUUCGCGCAUACAAAGCGAGUCGCCAACUGUGAUUAUACCACACAUGGGGCUCGAGAACAUUACCGUCAGUGAAAUUCUCAAGGCAAAGGGGGAGGCUGAAGCUGGAGCAGUCUACUGGUGCAGCACCAGCCAUUCUGUACAUGAAGCAGUACAGCACGUAAGCAUUAAUGUUUUUGGAGAACAACAGCGGAUUUAUCUUUCAACUAUAGUAUUACAGCAGAGUGACCAAAUACUGAACACUGUGGUUGAAACUAUAGAUGACAGCACACAAUGUUGGAGCUCUGGUGGUUCUCAAGUCAGGGAACAUGAACCAGCUUGCAGGAAUUGUAACCGAGAGAGGUACGCUAAGAUCAGCUGUUGAUAUAUACAUUGAUUAUUACUGCAUUUCUGAAUUAGGUUGUUGAUACAACCAACUGGAAUCUGAAAAUGAUCUGAUCAUGUAUCCUAUUCAGAAAUAAAGAAAAUAAUCACUGAAAUGUGGUAUCAGGAGAAAGAAAUAUUGACGGCCACAAUUAGCUACCUUAACUCAAACAUACUGCUUAAAUAAGGCGUGUCUGGUAUAAUAGGAAAACAUUGAAUUCUCUUACAUCCUAAAAUUUAAAUUUUAAUAAAGAAUUUAAAGUUUGACCAAUAUUAUAGAGAGAAAAGUAUUGACAUAAAAAAGGUAAAUAUUAUGAUAUAUUUCAUAAUGGGAACAAUGAUGUUUAUUUGAUAAUGUAAAUAUUAUUAUUGUGCUUUUCUCUAAAUCUUGUCAAUUUUUUUACUUAGAAUGUAAAUGUAAAACUCUUUAUAUUUCUUUUUUGAAAGGGAAUUCCUUAUAUUUUAGGAUGGAGGGAGUACAUAGUAAGAAAAAACUCCUUAACUAACCAACAUCAUCUAAUAACCAUAUAAAUAGCUAGCAGAAAGGAUUUGAAACAGUUAAAAGCAAAUAAUGCAUUUGAAUUUUACAGUUGCUCUCAAAAAAAAUGAAUGUUCAAAUGAAAUACUCCUUCGCUACAGAUUUUUCCAGGAAGAUCCUCUUGCCAGGGCGACCUUCAGAAGAAACCAGAGUUGAAGAUAUCAUGACAGAGGAGGUGAAAAAAAUUUAUGGAACAAACUCUUGUCUAAUUGAACAAUGUCAUAACAUAUCUCAUAGUCCUCACCAUUUUCCUUACUAUUGCAGGACAAGCUAAUUACAGUGUCUAGUCAUACCAAUAUUCUACGUGCCAUGGAGGUUAUGACAGGUAUGGAUCAUUCUGCAGCUUGUUAAUUUAAGUAAUUGUGUCAUAUCUGAAGGUUGCAGGAAACCUCUGAGCUACACAUCUUCCAUUUUUCUAUUAACAGACAAGCAUAUCAGACAUGUUCCUGUUUUCGAUGAGAAGGUAGUUGGUAUGAUAUCCAUUGGUGAUGUUGUUAGAGCGAUUGUGGACCAACAGCACCAGGAAGUAAAACAGCUGAAGAAGUAUAUCAGAGGAGAUUAUUAUUAGAAUAAUGUGCAGUCCUUACAUUUGGUGUAUAAACAUAAAUUAUGUGUAAUCGUUUACUGAUAUUUAAUACAUAUAUUUUCCUCGAUGACAUAAUCUGGACAUGCUGCGGGUCUAAUUGGUACCUCUUAUAAACUGCUCAUGUCCAAAUACAAGCUAAAACUAACAGCUAGGGAUGAAAAUACAUAAGCAGUUUUAGUGCAAACUAGAUACUGUGUCAAAUUUGAUUAACGAAGACUAUUUAACCUAAGCACCACACUUCCCAAUGAUGUAGGGAUAAUGCAUUAUGGUUGGCUGCUUGCGUACUUAAAUAAAUACGAUUUCUCUUGAAAAUAGAUAUUUGUUUUGCAACAAUCUGACUACAUAAUAAAUAUUGUAAGCAGCACUACUGAUUCUAUUAUAAAUACUAAGAUCAUGGUGCCAGAUUUGCUUUCAGCUUGUAACAUUGCUAAUGUAGCCUAUAAUUCUAUUGUGUUAUUGUUUGUUUAUUUAGUUCAGAAUUUAGUUGUGCUAAGUAUUUUGUUCUUAGAAAUUUAUGGAUAGAAUACAUGUGUAUGUGGGCUGUAUAGCAACACAUAUUCUGCAUUUAUGCUUUGAGUUAGUCUUUCCAUACUAAAAAUGACAAAAGUGCGUAAUCAGAAAAAUAUGUAUCAAAUAAAGUAAGAUACUUUCAAUAAUGACAAUGUACGUGCAAAUUCAAAUAUUUACUUCAAGUUAUUUUAAAUAUCAUGGAGGUCGGCAAUUUAGAUGCAAACUUGAUUGUUACUUUAGAUAUAGCUCUUUCUAAUGAUAUGUGUAAUUUAGAUUAUAGAUUAGGAGUUACUCCAAGUUGUAUUUUAUAAUGACACAGGUUAGUAAUUUAGAUACAAUUUUAGGAGGUUACUUUACAUUAUCCUGACAAUGGCAUAUAUGCAGAUUUAGGAGUUCACUUUAGAUUAUUUUUAUAAUGUGGUUAAUAUUUUAGAAAGCAUAAAUGAAUCUAGUGGCUAUUAUAAUCUUAUUGUAGUUAGAUUCUAAUAGAGUAAUAGGACCAUGGUUGGAUUUUUCUUUCUGAUUGCUGAUAGGAUUUUUAAGAUUUUUCUUCUUGCGUGUCUCAUGAUGAUUAACAUUAAUGAGUCUUGUAAGAUUGAUAGGUAGUGAAACGAAUACUUAGCAAAUGGUGAUGCCACUGAAAAUCUUCAAAUUUUGCAUAUUUAUUUUCCUUUUUUUAAAAAAAAAUCGGUUCCAAACUUAAUUGUCACAUAUUUGUUUCUUGUAGGCUAUCCUCAGUUACUACUUGUUCCAGCCUGAUACCAUUUCCCCCUGUGGUGCCGAGUAAUUCCUAGACAAAUGCAGAUGCUUAAAGUGAAUUUCUAGUCACGGAGAAUUUGUUCUUUACCAAUACUCCAGCAGUAGCAGUUUUGCUGUCCCGGAAAGUAUUAGUGCUUUUCUUUUCCUAGAUUCUUCCAAGUAAUAUAAUGCCAAGCUCCUCGCAGGAGCAAAUAGUAACGACCAGUUUUUAAUUUGCUGCAGAUUCUUGCAUUCGCUUGCAAGUUGAGGCUGCGAUAAUCUGCUUUUGAUUGAUUUAGUAAUAUAUAAUGCUAUUAUUUGGGGGCAGAAUUUUCUCAAGAAUCUAAGAAUGCAAAAGACACGGCAUUGGGGAAUAUAUACAUUAAACACAAUUUUCAAUUCAGAUUGAAUAAAGAAGAAAUGACCCAUUGGCCGUUAUCCACAUUUAAAACGAAUCAAACUUUGUUUCGAUAUUGAACAAUGUUUUGUCCUCUGCACUCAGCAUAAUACACACAGCCAUUACAUAGGGAUAAUGAAAAAAAAUGGUGUGCAUAAAGCAUGACUGCAUUAUUUCAAGCCAAGACCUUAGACUCAAAUCCAACCUACACUACAAAAUUACAGAAAGACUAAACAUCAACCGGUUGUUUCUCUGGUUUCGGUCAACUGAUUUUUGGGCCUUUUGAUUUGGGCACGAUUUGGCGCUGAGCUGAUUGUCGAUCGUUCGAUUUGGGCACGGUUCGGCGCUGAGCUGAUUAACAACGACGCAUGUACGCGUGCCUAAAUAUGUGCGUUUGCACGAUCUUUAAAACGUACGCAUGCCUAGCCAGCCGUCGACGGGACUCUGACGCCUGACGACGAGAUGGCUGGCAGUUUGGCACCGGCGCCAUGCUCCUCCUCUGGAUGGAUACACUUGCGCGGAUGCGAAAGUGACGGUGGCGCAACUCAUUCACGGAUGCAGCUGUAGGUCGUGAGCUCCGAUGUUCACAGGCAAGUAUGGCUGCCCGGCGUGAUGCAUAUGACUGUAUGGGCAUGUACUCCCAGUCCCAGGUGGGCUGCCUACGCCUCGCGCACGCACAGCUGACCAGAGGCCUCAUGCUGCCGCACGUCAGCGAUGGAGCUCUGCACUCAGUUCUCCUCUUCCUCUGAUGUCUGCAUUUUUUUCUAAAAUUUGUGAAUAAUUUAUAAAUAAUUUGACAUAUAUUUCUAUGGUAUCUGAGAUCCAUAGAAAUAAUUUAUGAUUUUUUUGAAAGAUUUGGUAUAUAUUUGUAUUAUCCUUAAAUUACACCACUAUAUCUAAUAAAUUAUACUAAAGAAGUCAUUGUAAAUAUAGUAAUAAGUCAAUGUAAGUAUAGUUAAAAGUGUAUAGGAAAAAUUCAGUUGACAAGAUAAACCAGAACAACUGAAUGUCAUCUAGAUAGAUCUAAAAAUUAAGAAUCUUGUUUGGGGUUAUCUUUCAUCGCCUUGGCGUCAUAUCUAUAGACAUACCGGCCUAGACAAUCUGGCCAAAUUAGAGACUAAAAACUACUUAUUUUCUGUCUCGCGGCUCAUUGCACCAAUUUUCAACUCUACCCCUCUGCUUUCUGGAUAGAUCGUAGACGGGCAUUUUUUUUUAAUGCGGCGUCACUAAUUCGCGCGCGCUAGCACAAGUAGCGAGCGAUUUCUGGCAGGAAAUGACAAACUUAAUUCCUGCUUCCAUCGUUGCCCGCGCGCCCCACCGGCGAUGACGCCGCCCUCGCCGCCGUGCCGUGCAGCUCACCUCCUAAAGCUAUAUAUAUCUCAUGCAGCCAGCGAUUGUACCACUACCAUAGCGUCGCCGUUGCAGUGUUCUCAGCUGGCACACGGGCACGGCCAGGCCAGUGCGUGUACUGACGAAUAUUCAAAAGCAGAGGCCAUUGGUACUCAUGGCCGGCACUGACAUGUGACGUGAAGAAAAAAGAACAGUCAUCAAGCAGCAUGACUAACCGCGUUAAUAAGGCUGUUGGGGGGCUGGACCCUUUCUUCGAGGAUCUCCUCCAUCCGAGGAACCUUCCUACGAAAGAGCGCGGAGGUUUGGGGCAAAUUUAAUAUUAAUGCAUCUCUUGUGGUACUAAGCAAAUGCAGAAACCAAAGUAAAGGCGGAGGUCAGAAGCGGAGAAGGAAUAAACCUUCAAAUCCUCCCGCAAUGAAGGAUGGCUGAAGGAAUGACGGAGGAGCGCCUGCGCCAGGGAACCUCCGGCGUGGCCGAGCCUAAGAACCUUCGGCGUAGAAGCGUCGAAGGUUCAGCAGCCUGGCGAAGAAUUCAAGCCUUCAACAAGCUGAAGCCCUAGGCGAGGAGUGCGCGAGGAGCUCGUAGUGUGAAAUUACAUAAAUGGCUUAGGGUUAGUAGACUGUAACAUAAGAAUAUGUCGGGAUAUUUCUCCAACGUCACGGGACAUUUUUGUAAUUACCUCAGGUCGGUUUCCGAGCCCUAUAUAAAGGGAGUGAAGCCACCAUUAAGUGAGGAGAGCAUUUAUUGUUUCCACCUACUGUUCAACUCACUGUUCGCUGUUGAUUGAGUCUCUCACUGCAUCGUGUGAGAAGGUUCUCAGUACAUUGUGUCGCUGGGGAGUGCAGUGUGCAUUUUCCAACAAAGGCCAAUUUGCGUAGUGUUGUUUUUGGGAAAAAAAAAAAGAUGGCCACUCCAUUUAAAGACUGGGAUCAGUGACGGACGGUGGAGGCAUAUGUUCUGAAUUCCACUUGUGUUUUGGUGCAUGCAUGUGUUUUUCCUCAAUCUAGGAGCCGGGUUUGACAAGUCGUCUAAUGGAAAGGCAGGUCCAGUUUCAUUUUACAAUUCACCUGAUAGGCUGAGACUAGAUCUACAAAGUGUGCUGAUGCUGUUCUUUGUGGUACAGAGGGUUUUUUUAUAUAAAAAAACUUAGCAAGAGAUUUGCCGAACAACUUUAUUAACUACUCCCUCCGUCACUAUUUAGAAGGCGUAACUGUUGUUUCUAAGGCCUUAUAUAGAUUCAAAAAGUUUUGGACUUUGACACAGUAGCACUUUUAUUUUUAUUUAACAAACAUUGUCUAAUUAUGGAGUAACUAGGCUUAAAAAAUUCGUCUCGCGAUUUAUAGUCAAACUGUGCAACUACUUUUGUUUUUAUCUAUAUUAAUGCUCUAUACAUAUGCCGCAAGAUUCGAUGUGACGGAAAAUCUUGAAAAGUUUAACUAAACAAGGCCUAAGUGUCCUGGCAUACAGGGCGUCUCGCAUGCAACAUGCAGUGAAUGACGCCGGCUGGACUCAUGGUUGCCUUGUAUGCAGCUACUACUCCAGGCACGGACCAGUACUAGUGCAACGCAUUGGCUUGUACUCUUUGUUUACAACAUGCAACUACUUUUUGCCACGAUAAAUGAUGAGCCUAUACUCAUAUUAAAUGAGCUCCUUGGUCUCUGUCUUAUAUGGGAGUUGCGCCUUCUAAACUAGAACAGAAGAAGUAUACUCACUAAGUGUGGAGCGCAAAUUGACACUUUACACCUCGGAGAGAUAGGCAAGAGUACAUAAUUUAAUUUUAAAAGAUAUCAUUUUUUAGGAUUAUUAAGACUAUUUUUUGCAUGGCCUAGGUACACUUUAUUUUUGAACAUGAAAGCAUUAUUUUAUCUUCGUUCUCUCAACCCAAGUGGCAUGGUGCUUUUUAACGACUCUCAUUCACUCCUCUUUUGAUCGCCAUUUAUGACCCUUCAAAUAUCCUCCUUGAUCAAGAGCUUGAGUUAUAGAGGUUGCAAGGAAGUGUGUUGAAAUAUCCUCUGGUUAUGCUCUUUCUACACAUUCCACCAAAAAUAGAUCAUUGUGUCGUCAAAAUCAUCCUUUUGUGUUUCUUUCUACACCAUGUCUCUCCCUUUCCUUCAAUAUUUAUAGAUGGAGCCCUUUCCUCCAACACUUAUAGAUGGAGCGUCAAUAGAUCCAUGUGUUUGCAAAUGCCUUAAUCAAACCAAGAGAGAAUUAGGUCAAGUGUGGUAGGGCUCUCUCUGUCUCUGGCUACCAUGCUACCAUAUGAAAGAAGUCAAAGCUAGAGGAGCCACAAAAUGUUGCUUCUUCGAUCUCCCAGAUUAUAGAGAAAAAAUAGCUCCUAUGAACUGUUGUAGGUCAGGAUGGCAACGGGGCCUCGAUCCCCGAUCCCUGCUGUGAAUUUCAUCCAUUAGGGAAUGAAUUUGGGGUAAAUUUGUCCCCCGUGGGGAUGUUAAUGGCUAAAAACAAUACCCGUCGGGUGAGCCGGGGAUGGGAUCGUUCCCCACCUCCCCGUCCCCGUUAUCCGCUAACACCCCUGAGUCCCUUAACAUGCUUAUAAGGCCCAAGGAGUCCAAUUCAGCCUAGCCCAUUACACUAACACAUAUAAGCUGCGAGUAACCAUAGCCGCAAUACCCAAUUCCCCAUCCCCAUCUGUCAUCCCAUCCGCCUGUCCGCCGCUGCUCACACCGCUCCCACACUCAGCACUCCGCCACUCCCGCUCGGGCUCAGUGGCUUGGCCGCUCGCCCGAAGCCCUGGACACCCGUUCCGCAGGCCGCACCCACACCCGCAUGUGGCUCCCAAACUCGCCGCACCUACCGUCACACCGCACAGACGCACACGCACCGCAUUCCCACUCCCACGCGCACGUAGGCCAUCAACGCGCAGCCACAGCCGCAUGCCGCUGCUCACGGCGGCUCUGCGCCUCUGGACAGUGGACUCCAGUCCUCUGUGUCUGGUCCAUGGGAUGGCGUCAGAAUUCGCUGAUGUUAUCGGCCAGUGAAGAUCUCCUUCAUCCUUCAACCUUAACCAUCUUUUUGCAGUUUUCUGUGAUCUAUGCCUCUACUGACUGUGCAUGUGCCACCCAAGAGACGCCGAAGACAACGCCUCCAAGCCACCGCAACCAGAUCAAGCUAGAUCAAUCAAGGCUGCUACCAGACCGUGCGCACCAGUAGCUGCUGCUCCUCUGCCUGAGAAGAAGAAAGCUUCGCUGACAUCAUCCACCAAAGCCAUCGUAGUAGCUGGUGACCUGAAGCGCCUUCCCCGACCACCUGGAGACAAAGGAUCCAACCCAAAACGUCAUUGCCCGAAGGGUGGACAUGGACGCAACAAUCUUCGAUCUAUUGGGUAAGUGCAUAGAACACUUAAGUUUUGUUCUGUUUUCUUGGUUUGUUUCAUUGCAGCUAGAUGUUAGGUUUAGAUGCAUAUAUGUUCUAGAAUCUAGAUUUGUCAUAUACUAGCAGAUUUGUGGUUGGCUUGUUGCUCAGAUGAAUAGAAUAUUUGAAGCUUUAUUAGUAGAUCUAUACACUCUAUUUUGAGUAGUAUAUUUUGUAUUUACAAGUAUAUGGCAGCAGUAUAUUGCAAGUCUCUAUUUUUAGUGAUCUACAAUUAUAUUACUUGGAUAGGUUGCAAAAGAUGUCUAGUGCAAGCAGUAGCCAAGCUCCAGCGUCUCAUGGCUCAUAGCCUGAUUCUAAGUCACUCCCAGAAUCUAUUAAUGAAUCCGUUGCAAUUGAAAUAGAGGAUGACGAAGAGGUGAUUGAGGCACAAGAAGAGGAAGAAGAUGGUGUUGAGGUAGGCUCAAAGAGGAAGCUUACAUCGGUUGUUUGAAAGGAGUUUAAGAGAGUCAUGUGGAAUGGGCAAGUAAAGGCAAAAUGCAUGUACUGCUUUACCAAGCUUGGAGGAGAAACAAAAAGUGGAACUAAACACCUUCAUGAUCACUUGAAGAGUUGUUCACUUAGAAAAAUCAAGUUGUCAAGAAACAAGACAAUGUCACAGGCUUAUUUAAGGUUUGCUGCCCUAGAAAAAGGCAAAGUGUCAGUGGAGAACUAUACCUUUGACCAAGAUAUAGCUAGAAAUGAACUUGGGGCUAUGAUGGUGCUGCAUGAGUAUCCUUUAAGCAUGGUUGACCACGCUGGUUUUCGCAGAUUUGUACAUGCACUGCAGCCAUUGUUCAGGAUUGGCACCAGAAACACUCUAAGGUAUAUGGUGUGUAUUGUACUAUUAUUUCCCUUGUUGUGUGCCAUUAAAUUCAGUUCUGAAUUGUUGUUAUAUCAUUGUAGGAAGCACAUCAUUGACCAAUAUGAGUUGGAGAAGAAGAAAGCCAUUGAACACAUGGCUGGAAUUAAAUAUAGGGUGGCUAUCACAAGUGACAUGUGGACAUCAGACAACCAAAAGAGAGGAUAUAUGGCUGUCACAACUCACUUUAUUGAUGAAUCAUGGAACCUUAGGAACAUUAUCAUGAGGUAGCAACUUAUAGGUUAUAACUUAUGGAUCAAGUGUUAUUUGUGUCAUAUUGACUGCAUUUAUUAUUGUCUGGUCUUAACAUUUCCUAUUCUUGUACACGAUUAUUUAUGUUCCAAGUACUCAUACUCAUGAAGUCAUUGGUGAUGAACUUUAUGAGGUACUAGUCGAUUGGAAUCUUGAUGAGAAGGUAUCUACUAUCACUCUUGACAGCUGCACCACAAAUGACUCAAAAAUUCCUUAUCUUAUGAGAGAUUGGCAAAACCAAGCUCAUGUCUGGUGGAAAAUUCUUGCAUAUGCGUUGUUGUGCUCAUAUCCUUAAUUUGAUAGUAAGGAUGGAUUAGAAAACCUAAAAGAUGCUAUUGAAAACCUUCAUGAUAGUGUAAGUUAUUGGACAGCCACACCAAAAAGAUAUGAGAAGUUUGAGAAAAUAGCUAAGUAUGUAAAUGUUACCAUUACAAAGAAGAUAGCACUUGAUUGAAAAACAAGAUGGAACUCAACUUAUAAAAUCCUUAGUACUGCAUUGCCCUACAAAUCUAUUUUCAUGAGAGCAAGUCGUGUAGAUAAACAAUACACUUGCUGCCCUACUGAGGAAGAAUGGAAUUUUGCUGCUGAUGUUGUAGAAAGGCUUAAGAUGUUUAGUGACAUAUCUGACAUAUUCUCUAGGACUGAUUAUGUGACUUCAAAUAUAUUCUUCUACAAAGUUUGUGAGAUUAGAUGUAACAUUAGGGAAUGGUCAACCUGUGGUAACCCCUUGAUAGAGGCAAUGUCUUAUGACAUGGAAGCCUAGUUUAAGAAAUACUAGACUGAUAUUCAGGGGCUGAUGGGUAUUGCUACUUUGCUUGAAACUCGAUUCAAAUAUUACAUGUUGCUUCAUUGCUUUGAGGUGUUACUUGGUACAACUAGAUCAGACUGUGAGUAUGAGGUUGCAAAAGUAAAGGACUGUUUAAGUGAUCUAAUGAGUUAGUAUCAUUCUAAUGAGGAGAAGGUAGCACUAGUAGCAGCAAAGCAACUACAGUACUCAAUUCAAGUUUCUUGUCCUCCUUUAGUGCCCGUGUUGCAAGUACUGUAUCAUCAGCCAUGAGGUUUAGGUCUGAAUUAGAUCAGUACUUAGAGGAUGAGAUGGUUGACAUUCAAACCAAGGGAUUUGAUAUCUUGGACUGGUGGAAGGUUGCUGGAACACGAUAUCCAACAUUGAGAAUGAUAGCAAGGGAUAUUUUUGCAAUUCCCAUAACCACUGUUGCCUCUGAAUCUGCAUUCAACACCAGUGGUUGGGUCCUCAGUGAACAUCGCAGCAAGCUGACUUAAUUGUUGGAAGCUUUAAUGUGCUCGUAGGACUGGAUCCGCAACAGAUACAAAGGUAUAACUCAUAUGCAAUUCAUAGUUCAUAUUUCAUACUUCACUCCAAAUUUUAGCCAAAAAUAAUACUUCAAAAAUGUAGGCAUGGUUACUAAUGAAGGGCGACCUGCAAGCUUCUGGUCUGCUCUCCAAGAAGUUCAAGAAGGCCUUCAGGUGAGUUAUCGAACACCUAAACAGAGUUUAGAUUUUGCUUUUGCCUUGUCACAUAACAACAAAUUUCUUAUUUGUGUAUCUAUGUAGGAACUUACAAUUUAGGAGUGCAGACUGUUAGCUGACUAGGAUCAAGAUGGCAUGCUUGUGUAAUGUGCUCAUAACUCACUCAACAUUAAAUAUUAACAUAAAUAUUAACUAUUUAUGUAACCUUCUAUUGUAAUGAUUGAUGUGUGGUGACACCACUACCCUACUUUUGCUGAUUUUGUCAGCUUGCUAGAAGCCGAGGCCGCCAUAAAUUUGAUGUCGAUUUCAAAUCGUUGCUGGUUAUUUUGUAGGACUGUAAAGUUCUAAUCUAUAGACUUUAGUGGUUCUAGAGAAUUGAGGCCCUUGUUGUGAAGCCUGUGAAUCUGUGAUGUUACUGGAGAUUUAUGAACUAGCUAAACUAUUAAUUUGUAAUGAUUGAAGGUGAACUCUAUUAAUCUGCACUUGUGAUGUGCUGCUGGAGAAUUGAGACUAUUUAUUUGCUAUUUAUUUGUGUAGAAUUUACAUCUUAAAAUGUACAAUUCAUGUUAUACUUCUUGUUUAAUUGUUGUUAGCUAUAUGUUUAUUGGGGAUUUAUCGGGGAUGGGAAACCCGACAGGUACAAAUCCCCGUUGAGGACGGGGACAGGGAUGGGGAACGGGGAGUUUUGAAUCAGCCGGGGAGGAGAACGUUCCUUCAAAAGCCGGCGGGGAUAGCCCCGUUGCCAAUUUGAGUUGUAGCAGGAGCUAGAGCCAUAAGAAGAUGUACCAAAAAGAUCUUUAAUGUUCACACCGCUUUAGUAUAAGACAAAUUCUUGCACAGGUGUAUGAGCAAUACUUGUGGUGCAACUUGACUAUCACAUUUUUAGCUAAUUGUUCUUUCGAGUUUCAAUGGUAGAUAUUGUUGGUUGUUAGUGUUCUUAGAGGGAGUACUCAAAAUUGAGUGUGCAUGGGACACUUGAGCAUCUAUGUCCUUUUUCUCUCUAUCUAAAAUGGUUAUAACGUCAUCAUCUAUCCUCCACUUGGAGCUCACGCGGGUCCACCUCCUAUCCGAUUUUGAUAUGAAGAUCGGAUCCACGUGUUCGCAUCUGAAAAGUCCUCUGAACUCACGCGUCUUCAUCCGAAGGUUCACUCCAAGAUGAUGAGAGCCUCUCAUGUCGUCUUCUUCGACAAUCAAUUUAGUAAGGUCUCAUCCUUGUGAAACUAUAUCAAUUUUUAAAAAUUGAUGAUUAAAGUUAGAAAUAUUUAACUUUACUAACUAAAGUAAAAAGAAGGCGGAUUUCGAAAUAGUUUAGAGUUCUCAAUAUAAAAUUAUUUAUUAGUUUUUUAUUAUUUUCUGCAAAUCCUUUGUUAUAGGCGUGGACAGAAUUUUGUGACCCAGUGCAACGCACACAGACAUAUAACUAGUAGUUCUGAAAAAAAAAUAAGAGGAGGAGAAUUACUGGAUUCCAGUGCGUAAUUUUCUAUGAAAUCUGCAGUAGGGAAAAAAGAACUCCGUUACACAUCAACUUGUGUCCUCCACACUCUCCCUUGAUUGGGUGGGGGUGAAAGGAGAAUCUAACAAAUUCUAUUGCAUCAAGUUGUGUGUUUUCUAGCGAAAGGCAAGCAUGCUAAAGUUUUGUCGUGUUAGCUAAUCACGCCAUUAGGUUAGGAAUUUCUGGUGGAGCCCCCUGGCUGAGGGCAGGCAGGAACCCUUUCAAGUAGCCAGCUCUCGGAAUCCCGAAUUUCCGAUACCUCGCGCACGCACACACGCUUUCCCUGAUGCAAUGCAAGGAUUCGCUGCAGAUGAGAUUCUCGAUCGCGGGGCGCCGGCCGCCUUUCUCCCCUGUCCCCGGAAGACACAGCUCUGUUCGCCGGUGGGCCGCAAAGAACCAUUUCCACCACCAAGUUGGGCGUGGCAUCUACCAUCCGCGCAGUCCGCAGGACGGCGUCCAGGCCUUUUGAGGGGAUUCCGAUUUACCAUAUCUACCUGACUUGGAAAGCAGAUGUAUCCACUUGUGUGUCUUGUGUCUCCUAAUAAUGGAUGAAAAUCGUAAUGGCAUCUUGUGAGCGCAACAAGUUCACUGUGGAAAUACUAUACUUAAUUCUCUCGGGAAUUCGAAAAAGGAAAGAGUUGAGAUGUAGUGACUGGGUAGUUUUUUUUGAUAAGGGUAGUGAAUGGAUAGUUGGAUAUCAUCCAAUCCAACAACUAGAGCAGUGAACACUCUUCCUAGCAACAGUGGGCAUGCAAGCUAACAAAUGAAAGCAUUCAUGAUUAGGCCACAUAUAAUAGAAUCGAAGAACUAAUCCAAACUAUUGAAAAGAAUUAUCUAGAAAGAUUUCUAGAGAAUUCAAUUGAAUCAUGAAAAUAUGCCAAAAAAAGAAAAAAGUUCCAAAAAAAUUAAUGUAAUUAAGAUCAGAACUAAAGUAAACAAAUAACCUCUAUUAAGAGUAUCUCCAAGAGUAUCCUAUUUUCUCCCGAAAAACACAUUUAGUUUUGCAACUCCUAAAAAGGUAUUGGGAGGAAAAAAGAAGAUCAUCUCCAAGAGUUUCCAAUAAUCCAUUCCUAAAAUAUAGAAGAUAAUUUUACAUCAAGAAUCAUAUACUAUUUCUAAAUUAUCAUAACCACUUUUAUAUAUUCUUUCUCUCUCGUACAUUUGCAUCAGGAACCCUUUCCUACUCUCUAUUCUUUCUCACACCCUUUCACCUUUAGAUUGACCAAAAAGACAACGUGAGGAGGAGCAAUGCGCACAAGAAAGGCCACACAUAUUUUUACACACGAUGCCGACCUAUUUGCCAAUUGCCAAAAGAUGGGGAAGGGAUAUGAGUUACUCUUAGAGAUGAAUUUUUCUCUUUUUUCCCCCAAAAACAUGGAUGGAGAAGGGAUAUGGGGUACUCUUGGAGAUGCUCUAAUGUUGUCAUUAGGACAAAAGAAUUAAACUUAAUCAAGGGAAUAUUUUUUAGAUACCGACAAAAGAUCUAUAAAAUCAUGAGAAUAUAUUAAUCCUAGCAUGCUAGAAUAUAAAAGGCCUAUAUGUAUUAUUUAAACCCAUUACAUCUGUUUACAUAGCUCUAGAAGGCUAGAAUAUAUCAUAAGUCUUUUUGCAACUCACAAGGUCUAUGUGAUCUCACAAGGUCUAUGUGAUGAAAUAUCUAUAUAUCUAGCUAUUGUAUAGUAAGACUAUUGUUCAAUUUAAGUCAUUUUCAAUGUGCAACCCAUACCCUUUGUAUUUUUUUAGUGUUUUUAACAGAAAAGGAGGGGUUGAAAUGAAAUAAACCAUAAGAAAAACAAUACAAUAGAAAUAACAAUGGUUAAGACCUUCAAGCAACAAAGAAAGAACAAAAAGAUGAACUUAGUUGGUUCUCACUUUAGAUAUUUCUAUAAUUUUUGUAGUGAAGAUUUCAUGAGUAAAUGAGCAGUGCAUGCAAUGAUGUUGCAUAACAUAUUUUGUUGUGCACACGGUUUAAUUAGUUUUCCUAGUUGUGCACAUAGUUUAUUUCUCUAGAUCCAAGACAUUCAUGUGACCUUAUUUGCAUUCAUAGUAAUACAUACUAUUUGUAUAGAGAAAAUGUAUUAAUGGGGGAGAAAUAUCGUACCUUGGUUCCAUCAGGGCAACUCUACUACUCCAAUAUGUUUGAUGUGCUGAAGAUGAAGAGAGAAAAAGUGAGUGAGAUGCAAUGUGGUGCAAAGGUACUAUAGCUAGAAUUGCUAUGAAACUAUGGUUUGUUUGGGCAUCAGUGCAAAGAAGAAAAAAGUAACUGAUAUCAAAGUACGUAGUCAAGGUGGAGGAAUGCUAAAAGUUAAGAAAUGUAGGAGAGAGUUUUUUCUCUCACAACAAAUUAGCAUCAGCAGCGGCAACCGAAAUUCAGCGAGAUAUUUCCAUGCAAGCGGCCAGAACUUGUCCAAUAGUUUGUGUUGGUUAUAAAAUUAGCUCCAUAUGUCUUUGCCACUAAUGUUGUUUGGUAGUACCUCUCAGUGCUUCUAGUACUAGUUGUGUGCUAUCCAUUUGGACAGUUAUAUUUAUAGAUAAAGAAAUUUUGCCAAAAAACAAUUUUGCAUAUCCUUAUGUAACCUAGCUAACUCAUUAUUCUCUAGCAAAACUAGUGACAUGGCAUCAAUUUAUGAGGGGAGAGAAGAGUUAGUGUUCAUCAAGAUGAAACCUGGUGUACACAAUUACCAAGACUAUAAAAACUAGAAUGAAACUCUACUGAGAGCAACUUAUUUCAUCUCUAAACCUUUUUCAUUGAACAUCACUAACUUUAAAUGUUUUUGGCUAGUCUAUAAAACUAUGAAAUGAAAUUUUUCAUUGAGAGAGGUCAUUUCUUUAUUCAUCAUUAUAAACCUCUAAAAAUGAUGUAGCAGUAGAAACCAUGUCAAGAAACCCUCCACUCUCGUCUCAUGAUUACCAAAUAGACAAGUUCAUUUAUUAGCAUUAUUGCACCAAUUUUUCAUAAUUUACAUUGUAUGUAUAGGGGAUGAAUAGGUUCAAAUAGAUUGAAGUUUCGAGAAUAUGAGCACAGAUUAUUGAUUAAGAAGGCUCUAACUCAGUACCAUAUACUCCACUACUCCAUCUUGAUAUGUUUGCAUUUUCUAAUCCCAGUGGUAAUAUCAUACGCAACAAAUGACUGGCACAUAGGAAUAUUAGCUUACACAACAAUCAAGUAAUGUGGACAGAGAGAAAAAUGUUAUAUCCUGGUUGUGAUACAAUUUGGGUAUGAAAUAAUCAACCAUUGGAAAACCGCAUAGCAGCAUUUGGGUUGAGUUGUUGCAUUUGAUACUAUAUUUAGGUCCAUUUUUCAUAGACACAACACAUACAAUAAAUAGCUAUCAUGGUAUCCUAAGAAACUACAUCAAGACACUAUGCAUUGAAAGAAUAGUAUCAUUUGUAUACUCAUAUAUGACAUGGCGGCUUUAGAGAAAAUGACAUGUUACAAAAAAAUAGAAUUAUAGCUUAAGAAAUGUAAAGGUUAUUUCUCAUUGCUGCACAUAUACUAGAAGUUACGGUUCAAAUGGGAGGCUGCCCCCAAUGCUCCGUUCAAUACACAUCAGCUAAACCCGAAAAAUAUUAGCUAUAAAAUACAAUCAUCUUUGUGUGAUGCGGUGGCAUACGACUUUCUAUGACGAAUAUUCCAUGAGUGUACAGGUAUACUAGUUGUACCCAUAGUUGUCAAAUAUCGAUUCUAUGUGUGCGGUUUAGAAUCUAUAGUUUUACAAUUCUAGUAGUUAUCUAUACCUAAUAAUAAAUUGUGAAAAUUUCAGUCUACCAUAUCUUUAUAUGUUCACUAGGCCUUUCAUCAGUGUCCGUAUUUAUAUGACUAUAUAGGACUAUGUUUCUCUUUUUGGAUCUGGUUUCUUAUUAUUUUUAACUUAUUUUUUGUUUAUGGCACAAGAACUUCUGGUCCCAUAGGGUUAGCGGGAAAAAAAGAAAGUUAUAAGCUGAAUCUAACUCGGAAGCCUAACACGAGUUUAAACCAAUUUUAAACCGAAACAAGCGAAUAGUUAGACUCAACUAAAAUCCAAAACAGAGUUCGACCAAAAUUAUCUUUAUUCUUAUAAGAAAAGAUAUAAUUACUUCAAAGAAAAAAAAGUCACGGACACCACCGGGGGAGGGGGAGCGACUCUUUUAGACCCAAGGUACGCAACACCUAUGAGCCGGAGAGAAAAAAUAAAGUAAAGACAAAAACAAAAAUAAAGAUCCAAUCCAAACUAAGGUAAUCAUGCUGAACUCGGACAGAACACUGGUGAUUGGAAAAAAAAAGUGAAGACGAAAAAAAAGAUCCAAUCUAAACUCAGGCAAUUAUGGUGAACUCGGAGAGAACACUGGUGAUUGGCCGCACGAAAAAAAAUUAGGUGCCAUAAAUUUUGGCUUUCUAUUAUUAAGGAGGAAUAGAUUACGAAUCUAGAGUUCAGUUCCUGAUUCAAUAUGUUUUGGAAUCGAACUCUAUAUCAUGCUAGACAAAAGCUAUUCUAACUUGUCGAAGUAUGGGCUAUAUAUAUAAGUCUGGAUAGAAGAAACUCUUCAUUGUCCGGUAGCUAAAGAGAGACGUGCCAAAAAAAGAUGGACGAAAAAAAACUUGAAAUUUUGGUUCUUUAUUAUUAGGUAUAGAUAUAAGAAGAAGAAGGAACUACAGAUUAAGACUUUGAUUUUUUUUGCCUCCGAUUCACAUCUAACUAAAUAAAGAAAGCGGAGCAAAAUAAAAAACACAAUUCUUAUCCUUUUCUAUUUAACUAUUAAGAGUUCUUUUUAAAAUACUUAGUAUGUGAGGAAUCUAUUUAUAUUGAGACUCCUACUCCAUAAUGGUUUAGACGCAAGUUAUUCUAAGUUGUAUGAGCACGGGUUAUAUAUAUAAGUUUAGAUAAAAGAAACUCUCCAUCGUUCGGUAGUUAGAGAAAGACAAACAAAAAAAUAGAUGGACAAAAAAAGCAUAAAUUUUUGCCUAUUUAUUAUUAGAUAUAGAUUAUAUAUAAUUAGAUAAUAGAGAUAUAAAUAUAGGUUUGAUAGUUUUUUUUUCUCCCGUUGCAACGCACAGGCAUUUUUGCUAGUAAUUCUAUAAUUUUUGAUACCAUCAUUCGAGUUCUGAUCCAAUUUAGGAUCAUGACUUUAACAACUUUGGUUCCACCAUAAAUAAUCUCUUUUUUAUUACACAGUACGCACAACACAGGUGUGCACACUUACCCUUAUGAACGCACAUACCAUUAUUGGUUUAGGAUUGAGAAGAUGUUUUCUCCAAUUUUAUUGCAACUAUGUGUGUGCUCUCUUAAAUUACCUAAACUACCUUUGACAAUUUGGUUGUUAAACCUCCGGUCAAAAGAGCAUUUAUGACACUACUCUUUAUACGGUUAUAACGUUACAAAGAUAUAAAUGACAGCCAAAGUGAUAUAUACUAUUUGAGGGCAUGUUUUUUGGUGAAUAGAGUGUAGAUGUAUCACGUACCAUUAUCGAAGAACAAUACCUUUAGUUAAAAAAAACGAGCACACCAAGUCAAUAAAGUAUACCUAACCAAUGGAUGAUCUAUACUCAAUUCACAAUUAUUAGUAUUUUAUAUUGAAAAGAAUAUGAAUAUAUUUAUGCGUUCGACAUGCAUAGACUAACUUGUGGCUAUUUUUUUUAUAAUAUUUUUAAUUUGCAUUAUUAUAUGGAAUUUUAAAAUAGAAGGGAUACAUUUACGCUGGAUAUAACAAGUCGACAAGCUGGUCCAAACAACAGUUAUGACUUACAGUUAAGACAGUACAAAAAUACAAAUUAAAGACGUGUGACGGGUCAAAGUGACAUAUACUCUUUUCCUACGUAGUAUAUACUACGUCAAGGGGUCAGAAGGCCACCCUGACCAUCCUUUGGAAUGGUUAAUUCCUUUGGCGCCAGUUGGAGACUGAAGAAGGCCACCUGGCGUUCUUAAUUAAACCCAGCUCACGGAUCCUAUAAAUUGGAACCCUCGCGGCUCGGUAGUGCUCCCACCGCAAACCAUUUCAAAACCUUCCUUAUUUCCUUGCGCCGGCCGGUUACAUCAUCACUCUUGACGCACAAACCGUCCGAUCCGCCGUUCCAAACGCAAACAAACAGCGCCAUGUCGUCCAACUCGUCGGCGUCGUCGUCUGAGUGGACGAAGCCGCAGCACAAGCUGUUCGAGCGCGCCCUGGCGGUGUACGACGCGGACACCCCGGACCGGUGGCACAACGUGGCGCGCUACAUGGGCGGCGGCACGUCCGUCGAGGAGGUGCGCCGCCACUACCAGCAGCUCGUCGUCGACGUCGCGCGGAUCGAGUCCGACGGAGUGCCCUUCCACUGGUACGCCACCGCCCCGCCGCCGUCGACGCUGCAUCGAGGUAUGCAUGUAGUAACGACUGAACACUGCCGGCGUCGUCGUCCUCCCGUUAAUUUCUUGCCCUUAUUCGGCUAUUAAGUACUCUUAUUAGUUUUGGAGCAUGCGACAUGGCGUAAUAAAUUUAAUCAUUCAUGACGUCAACUAGAUGGACGCAGAGCAGUAGCUGCUGUGUGCCACUACCCACAUGAGAUCUGAUCCUUGGACAGGAGUACAGGACAGAUAGUUCGUGUGUGUGCAUGCUUGAAACGGCAAAGUACCAUGAGAUUAGUCCUAAUCAAUUCGCGUUGCCUGCUUAAAAGACUCUGCAUUGUGUCUGUCAUCAUGCAUGCCACUGGCGUUGCUGCGAUAAUGUUUAAAUACUGUUUAGAUAACCGACCAUGCUGUUAAUUCCGAUGGUAGAUUGGUACGACAUGUCAAGUUGCAUUGGCAACUUUGGCUUUAAAUUUGGCUGCUAUAAUUGACUAGAUAGUACGUACUCAUUACGCGUAAGUAGUAGAUCCUGCCUCGACAGUCGGCAGACACAUUUAUUCCUGGUAUAUUUGGUAGUACUUCACAGAAUAUACAAUGUUAUCACCAGUCAUCAUGCUGGAAAAUAUGCAUACUCGAUUCAGUACUAGAUUCGGUACGUUGUUCAAUACAGAGACGCAAAAUAUGCAUAAAGUUCCCUCGAAAAGAAUAUGAAUAUACUCCAUGUGUUCAUGAAAAAUAAAAAGUUAUGCGUAAGAAGACUGCUUUUUAUGUACUGACUGAAGACAAAAUGAGAUUAUGUAUGCAAAGGAGAAGUGAUCGAAAUAAUUCUCAUGUCCCCUAUAACUUGGUUGUAGGUUGAAAUAUCUGAAUGAAGCUUCAAUGAAGGGAAGGGUUAAACAGUGGCUAGCUGUGCUCUUUGAAGAAGAUCUAUAAAUCAUGCAUGUAAAUGUGCAUGUGUGUAUGCUGAUUGCAAAAUGUUAUACCAAGAAUCCAAGUUAAAUACUGCAGCCUGCUGGUCUUUGAUCUUGUAUACCAAGUAGUUAGCUUUUCGAGAUCUAUGGAGCGAUAUGAAUGCUUCAUGUAUAAGUUCUGGUCAUGUACUGCUAUCGAAAUACUGUGAAUCAACUAAGGAAUUAUUCCCAUGAAUCUCUCAGCAUUUGCAAACUCCAAGAAUGCCAUAUAUACACUGUUUCAAACAUUCCCCAAUCCGGCCGCAUUCUACUACGAAUAUAUGGUGACUCUGGCAGGCUGGCGUAUCGUGCCAACGAUGUGGGGCCGAAAGCACCAUUGCCAACACAUAACCUCGCGUCCUCGCCUAUUGCACCAACCAGAUGAAAGCAUUGAAUACUUUUUUAUUCUAGAGCUAGAGAGGCACCUAAACUAGAACUUACACUACUGAAAAAAAACUAUGCUCUCUAAAUUGUGCUCCCUAUCUUUGCACAGGAGGUUCAAAUUCCGGGCUGUGCUGAUUAUACGGCGAAGGCCGCCGGUCAAAUGCCACAUGUGUGGAAAUGGAGUUCUUCCAUAUAGGCAAUUCCUUAAGAUAUCCACCUGUGGUAACUCGCUGAUAAGAAUGACGACCUUAGUAAAGAUCUGAGUAUGAUCAAGCUAGGAGAGAGGGAGUGAAUUCAGUUACUGAUGAUAAUUUUUCUACACUAGAUAAAUAAAAUUACCAAAUUAGUAAGAUGUGCACCGAGGGUUUAUAACACACAACCCAAAGCAUAAGUGCAAACACAUGGUGGAUAUGUGCCCAUAUGUGAUUGUCAAGGUGGAUCAAAGUUUUGGUUUAGUGUACGUGAGACUAACUAUGGUAUGAGUAAAUUAUUGUGUAUGCAACAUGUCUCUUUGGUAUGUGAUGUGCAGGUGUUGACCGUGAGACAGUCGCAGCAAUAGAAGGUCAAGACAUGAGUCCGUGCACGUUAGACUAGGAGCGGUCAAGGGGCGAACACGGUGGCUUGGACUGAGGGACCUAGGACUGGAGGAUGGACCAUGAAUGACUAUCACUUGGACACAUAGAUAAGCAAGUGUACGUGAAGGUAUGGUGAUGGAGACGAUGUUGGCCAAAGUCAAGAAGACGACCAAACCAAGUCAAGGCAGACGCAUUUGGUGAUGGGAUGGUUGAGGAUGAGUAGGAGACACUUCCACAUCGUGGAGAAGGCCUAGCGGCCAAGAGACUCCACAUGGGUUUGGCAGUUUGGGCCUCAAAAUAGCGGGUGACAGGUUUGCUAGGUUUGGGUCUCAAAACCCAAGGAGGAUCUUGGGGCGGCAUAUGGCAUCAUGGCAGAGCUUGCAUCAGGACAAAACAACUUCAUGAAGCACACAGUCGUUCCCAUGCUUGAAAACUAAAUUGGACCAUUUCAUCGGUGACAAAGUGGCUUAAGACUAAACCUAAGGACACUCUUGAAAUUGUAUUUAAUUGUCUUAUAAAUAAGGAUAGUGGCUAAGUGGUUGAAGACUAAACCUAGGGGAGACUAUGAUUGGACAACAUUUUCUAUUUUCUUAUCUUUUAAAUUAUUAUGUCAGGGUCGUGACUUGGGUGGUCACCGGCGGCAGUGCUGGGGGCGGUGGCGCAGGGGAGCAGGGGCGGCGGUGUGUGACUAGGGCAGGGGUAGGAGCGGCGGCACGAGAGAGAGAGAGAGAGAGGAAGAGCUUUCACUCAUUUAUUUCUUGAUUGAUGCGGUUACAUGUCCUUUAUUUUUUAUAAUCCCUAUUGGACUUGGCUCACAAGCAAAACAAGGAGAUCCUUAUCGAAUAUAGAUUCUCCUUUUCAUCAAUCAACUCUUAUACUUUCUAUCUUAAUAAUCUAUUUCUAAAAUCAACUAAGACUAGAUAUGGCAACCGAACAUGAUACGGAAGGAAACAGCGGCAACGGCAGCGGUGGCAGCGCCUUGCCUAGGGCAGGCCACCAGGUCCCCAAUGGCGCCAUCAAGGGUGGUGGUGCCCCUUGUGGGUCUCUUAUGGCCCGUUCUUGCCAUUGACAGUCACAACCCGUAUUGGGUGUGUGACAUGACUCCCCCCUUGUCCACUCAGCGCGUCCUCAUGGCAAAAUACGACCUGGUCAUCAACUCCAUCAAGUGGCAGAGCUCCUUGGCCUAGAUGAGGCAUACGAUGCUUCUAACGAGUGGAUUGGCAAGGAUUAUAUUUUCCCUUGUCUUGAGCAGUGCAAAUUCGAAGGAGUACUGGAGGUUGUCGAUAUACAAGGUGGUAGCCAAUUGUGCCCAUAUCAGAGCCUGUGUGAGAGUCCAUGUGUGCAGCAAGUAGAAGAGGACAUGGUACCGAUGCAGUUAUGUCAAGAUGGAAAAUCAAUCAUGGAGGAGCCAUGAAGUUGUGAAUGUGGUUGUUGAUGUCAUGGUUGAUGGAGAAUUGAAUGUGGUGCCAAAUAGUUGUCUCUGAGAGAGCUGGAGGAGAGGUCGUGAGAUUGAGCAUUGAGCCAAAGAUGAAAGUUCCCAAAUUGAAAGUGUCUGGUGACAACCGUUGAACGUCUAUUCAUGGAAGGAGGCCAAUGUCGAUGUUGUCAAUAUGGCUAAACAGAUAGUGAAAGGUCCUAAUAUGGCUAGAAGGGGGUGAAUAGCCUAUUAAAAAAAUCUACAAAGCACUAGAGCAAAGAUUAGUACAUCAAAAGGCAUAAUGGAAUUUUGCUCUAGCUCUACAAGGGUUGCAAGCCACCUAUCCAACAAUUAUAGUUUCUAAAAUCACUAGGCACACAAGAGUUAGGUUACUAAAAGCUAAACUAGUGAACUAAGCUACACAAAGAAAAGUAAGCAAUUAAAACUAAUUACACUACUUUGUGGGAAUGUAAGAGGAGAGGAUGUGAUCUUUAUACUGUCUUGUAGGGGAUGAACCAAUCAUCGAUAUGUGAACAAACAAUCACCGGGAGAAUGCCAAUCAAUGACAAUUAAGACACCAACUUUUUCUUCUAAGGUUCAUGUGUUUGCCGGCACGCUAGUCCCCAUUGUCUCAAACAACACCUCGUGGUUCGACGGCUAAUUGGGAAUCCACACCCAAGCUCUCCAAGAGCAUCGCAAGAACCUAACGCAAGUGAGGUAGUUCAAUGACACAAGCAAUUUACUAGAGUUGGUGCUUCGUCGGGGAAGGCACAAGAACCCCUCAUGAUCAUCGGGAGAUAGCCACGAACAAUCACCAACUCAUACCAAUGCUCCUCCACUGCUCCAAGCCAUCUAGGUGGCGGCAACCACCAAGAGUAACAAGAAAACCAUAGCUCAAACGAUCCCCAAGUGUCACUAAAUGCAAUCGCUCAAGCAAAUGCAUAUGGAAUCACUCCCAAUCUCACAAAGAUGGUUAAUCUAUGAAGGAGAUGAGUGAGAGGUGUUUGCUUAGGCUCACAAGGAUGUCAAGUAUAUCAAAGUGCCAAGAGGCACACCCAAGAGCUGGCCAACUAGUAUUUGUAAGCCCUCUCUACUAGAGCCAUUGGGCUCCUGAGGCUUGCCCUAUUAGGGGCAUCAGACAUGGCCUCAGCAUCCGACGGUCUCCUAAUAGGCUCACUAAUUGCUGCCACAUGUCCUACGAUGAAUGUGACCCGUUGAUCUCCAAGGUCACUUAAAUAUUUGAGUUCUCAGGUAUAACAUGUUGGAUGCGUUAGGUGCAACACACUGGACGUGUCACUUACACACCGAACGCUACUCAGGGAGCCUUACAAAUGUGUAGGGGUGUUGAGCGCAUCCGACAGUCACUCAUCGAACGCUCCUCAGCGUCCAACACGCUUAGUCAAAAACAGCUCUCUCACGCGCUCGGUGAUGUCACCUACUAUAGUGCGAGUACCGGAGUGUCCGAUGGCAGAGCAUCGAACGCUCUGACGCAUGGUCCACUCACACACUGCGGCACUUGAAUGCACCAGACGCUGGGUCAGCAUCUAACGCUAUCUAGUCUAGCAUCUAGUGAGUGUUUCGCAGCGAGUUACUCUCGCAAAUUCUCCGAGACUUUCCUUCGGCGCAAUAGAAAAUAUGCAUUUUAUUUUCUCAAAAGUGUUGAAUCCCUCUCUAUCCUUCAAACUCCACCUCCUUCUCAAGGUGUGCCAACACCCUACCAUGUGUGUACCAAUGUGUGCACAUGUGUUGGCAUUUUCACAAUCAUUUUCUUCGAAGGAGUUAAUUUAGCUCAUUAGGUUCUAAAUGCAUACACAUAAACGUCACCUAAUGGCACUCGAUAACCACUUAGCCAAAGAUUUCCCCUCUUUAUAGUAUGACUAUCUAUCCUAAAUAUGACCACACCCUCCAUGGUGUCUUGAUUAUCUAAACCAAAACCCUAAGCAAAACUUUUUUCUUGAUCUCCAUAGAGUUUUGUUUUUCUCUUUCUUCUUUUUCAAGUUGAGCACGUGAUCAUCUUGUGGUCGUCACCAUGAUCAUCUCUACCAGCCUUAUCUAAUCUACACACUUAGCAUGAAGGUUAGUACUUUGGCUUCAUCAAUUAUCCAUAAUCAAACUUAGACUUUUAGAUAGCCGAGGUUGUCAAGGAAGACUACUAUGGCACUUGUAAUGGAUUGAUGAAGUAACCAUGGGUAGCCCAUCAGGAUGUGCAUGGGCAUCCCGUUGAGCUAUCCUUUAGCUGAUUGGGGACUAUGCGCUCCCACAGCUAACAGCUCUAUGUUGGCCAACCUACCGCAUCGAAGACCUUGUAGAAGAUCUAGAAGCUAUGGUGACGCUGCUGGUAGGUAGAAACAAUUCGUCGAAGAAGAUAAGAUCCCUCUACAUGGACCAAUCCUUGGUGGCCUGACCUUGUCCAAUAGCUGUGGUGAUGACACAGAGGUCGUGGUGAUCCCUAACACCCUAAUGCAUAUAGGUGAAGAUGAUGUCACCUAGGUUAUCGAUGUUGUCAAGGGCAUUGGGUAGGUGAGCACAUUGAGCCCUGUUCAUCACAGUAUGUGGAACAUGUGUUGUAGAUGUCCAGGAUAUACGUAGCAUUGGUUGAUGUGUUGGAAGUGCUAGGAUUGUUGUCGGUGCUUGUCGACGAGGCAUUGUGUGUAGUCUGUAGGGGUGCCCAUUGCGGAAGUAGAGUAGCUCCAUGGUGGUGAAGUCCCAAGUAAUGCACCCAAGGCUAGUUAGCCAAGGCAUGCUGAGCAUGACGUAGAAGUUGUUGCCAAUGUCAAGAAGGAGGACAUCAAUACGGAAGAUGUCAUUGCCAAUGUGUAUCGAUAUAUUGAAAGAAGCACUAUGACAUGGUACCUCGUUCCCACUAUCGACGAUGAAGGUGGUGUAAAUCUCAUGCUCCUGGAGGCCAUUGGAGUGAGCAAAAUUGGUACCGAUGAUGUUGUACCAGUAUGAGGAUGCCUUCACCAUGGAGCAUCCUAUCUAGAUAGAAGGGUGGGGUGCCCUGUACCCCUGACUACUGCUUGCCAAUGAUCAUCAUGUACAUUUGUUGUCAGAUGGUGCCACAACAUCUGCUGCUAGUAAGGGUGACGUCGAUAGUGGUGGUGGAGGAAGGUUUGUUAAUGUCAAGAUAGCCAUCUUGCUAGUCUCGAUGAUGUCUAUCAGCCUCCGUUCGUAUCCAACGCUUGAUGAAGUCGCAACUGGCUUUCUCCAUGGUGGCUCGUGUAGAUAUCUCUAGACUCGCAGUGAGGAGCUCCUUCUCUCAUAUCACUACAAGAAAUUCUCUUAUACAUGACAGUUUACUUUCGUCACGGACAAGCAAAAAUGCGUCAUAGUUAACUCGUGAUGACGAUCGCAAAAAACGUCAUGUAUCCCGCGUCAUACAUUUUCAGGACCGAAUCAAACCGUCACAGGUUGGUAUUUCUAUUCGUCAUGGAAUAACUGGUCAAUGACAAUAGAUCUAGGCUAUAGUGACGAAAAAGAACAUCACAGACUAGUGCAAAUCAUCACUGCUUAACAUACAUCAUGGCUCAUAAGAUACAUCAGUCAUAUAAACAAACAUUGAUCAUUCAUGUAUUAGCAAGCUCACUGUUGUACAUUGUCACAUUUUAUGAAACAACAAACUGGCCUGGCACGGCUCACAAUCAUUUAUCAAACAAUGAACUAAUUUAACUCAUAACAACUAAGUUUGAACUUUAUGACAAUCAUCUCUAGGGAGUCUAAAAUAACUAAACAUUCGUAUCGCCGAGCACUUCAAUUGGCUUGUUGUCCAUAAGAUGUGC